UCGUCAAAAGAAGCUUUCAAACAGAUUAUGAAAGCUCUCAAAGAUGACAAGGUCAAUAUGAUCGGACUGUACGGCAUGGGAGGGGUGGGUAAAACCACCCUGGUGAAAGAAGUAGGCAGGAGAGCCAAAGAGUUGCACCUUUUUGAUGAAGUUUUGAUAGCUACGGUGUCCCAGAAUCCAAAUGCCACAGGCAUCCAGGAUCAAAUGGCAGAUAGUUUAGAUCUGCAAUUUGACAAGAAGAGUAAAGAAGGGAGAGCAAAAGAACUAUGGCAGAGACUGCAGGGAAAGAAGAUGCUUAUAGUCCUGGAUGAUGUUUGGAAAGAUAUUGACUUCCAAGAGAUAGGGAUCCCAUUUGGUGAUGAUCACAGGGGUUGUAAAAUUCUUCUAACAACACGUCUUGAAGACAUGUGUUCUUAUAUGAAGUGCAAGGAAAAAGUUUUUUUAUGUCUCUUUUCUAAAGAGGAAGCAUGGGCUUUAUUCAGAAUCAAUGCAGCUUUACGUGACGAGGACUCUACCUUGAACAGGGUGGCAAAGAAGGUUGCGAGAGAAUGUAAUGGAUUGCCUGUAGCACUUGUGACAGUGGGAAGGGCUCUAAGAGAUAAAUCUGUUGUUGAGUGGGAAGUAGCGUCUGAAGAGCUCAAAAACUCUCAAUUUCGGCAUUUGGAACAAAUUGACGGACAAAAAAAUGCAUAUGCAUGUCUUAAGUUGAGCUAUGAUUAUUUGACGUCCGAUGAAACCAAGUCAUGUUUCUUGCUAUGCUGUUUAUUUCCAGAAGAUUACGACAUUCCGAUUGAGGACUUGACGAGAUACGCAGUUGGCUAUGGGUUACAUAAAGAUGCGGAGUCCAUUGAAGAUGCAAGGAAACGAGUUUAUGUGGCAAUCAAAAACCUCAAAGCUUGUUGUAUGCUGUUAGGAACUUUUAGUGAAGAAUAUGUCAAAAUGCAUGACUUGGUUCGUGAUGUUGCUAUUCGGAUAGCAUCAUCAGAAAAAUACGGAUUCAUGGUAAAGGCUGGCAUUGGGUUGCUAGAGUGGCCAACGAGCAAUAAAAGCUUUGAAGGUUGUACAACAAUUUCGUUAAUGGGCAAUAAACUAGCAGAACUUCCUGAAGGAUUGGUGUGUCCACAGCUCAAAGUUCUAUUGUUAGGACUGGAUCGUGGUUUGAAUGUUCCAGAGAGGUUUUUUGAAGGGAUGAAAGCAAUAGAAGUUUUGUCUCUAAAGGGAGGGUGUUUGUCAUUGCAAUCACUUCAAUUCUCAACGAACCUUCAAUCGUUGCUGUUGAUCGAGUGUGAAUGCAAGGACCUCAUUUGGUUGAGAAAGCUGCAAAGACUUAAUAUUCUUGUUUUCAGGCGGUGCGGCUCCAUUGAAGAAUUACCUGAUGAAAUUGGGGAGCUCAAGGAGUUGAGGUUGUUGGAUUUGACAGGUUGUGAAAAUCUAAGAAGGAUUCCUGUGAAUUUGAUAGGAAGGUUGAAGAAGUUAGAAGAACUGCUGAUCGGGGAUCGGAGCUUCAAGGGAUGGGAUGUUGUUGGAUGUGACAGCACAGAAGGAAUGAAUGCAAGCCUAACAGAACUAAACUCGUUGUCUCAUUUAGCUGUAUUAUCAUUGAAGAUACCGAAGGUUGAAUGCAUUCCCAGAGAUUUUGUUUUUCCCAGGUUGCUCAAAUAUGAUAUAGUGUUAGGGGAUUGGUAUUCAGGACCCCAUAAAGAAUACCCAACCUCGACAAGAUUAUAUUUGGGUGAUAUAAGCGCCACAUCCUUAAAUGCAAAGACAUUUGAGCAGUUGUUUCCUACCGUGUCUCAUAUUUGGUUUUGGAGAGUGGAGGGUUUAAGAAAUAUAGUAUUGUCCUCUGAUCAGAUGACCUCCCAUGGCCAUGGGUCGCAAAAGGACUUCUUUCAAAGAUUAGAAUAUGUAGCAGUGAGAGAAUGUGAUGAUAUUCGCACUCUGUUUCCAGCAAAAUGGCGGCAAGCUUUGAAAAAUCUAAGGAGAGUGGAAAUUGAAGACUGCCAAUCAUUGGAUGAAGGAAUUAACGAGGAGAAGGAGCUGCCAUUUUUAACGGAGUUACAGCUGUCCUGGUUACCUGAGCUCAAAUGUAUAUGGAAGGGGCCCACUAGACAUGUCAGCCUCCAAAGUCUUACUCGUCUGGAGCUCAGAUGUCUUAACAAACUGACAUUUAUCUUUACUCCGUCCCUCGCUCAAAGUUUUAUUCAUCUGGAAACGCUACGGAUAGAAAAUUGCCAUGGAUUGAAGCGUCUUAUCAGAGAACAGGAUGACGAAAUCAGGACAGAGUCUCUUGGCUUCCCAAAAUUAAAAAAUCUCUCUAUAAUAUUCUGUGAUAAACUUGAAUAUGUCUUCCCUGUCUCCGUGUCUCCAAGUCUUCAGAACCUGGAAGAGAUGCAGAUUGUUUUUGCUGACAAUUUAAAGUCUCUUGUAUUUUACAGUGGAGAAGGAGAUGACAUCAUCGUCAAGUCUAAAAUUAAAGAUGGCAUCAUCGACUUCCCUCAGCUAAGAGAAUUGUCUCUUUCAAAGUGCAGCUUUUUUGGUCCAAAGGAUUUUGCUGCCCUAUUGCCUUCUUUGCAAUGUCUAAGGAUCUCUGGCCUUGAAGAAUGGGGUAAUUUGUUGGCACAGCUUCGAGUACGUCCUUUAAAUUGUCAACUUCAAUACAUUGUGAUAAUUUGUUCUAUCUUCCUCCAAAUUUCUAAAACUAAACUAAACUAAACUUCCACUGAAUUUAAUUGAUGAUUUAAAUUGGCUUAGGAAGUUAGACAUCAAUUACUGUAAUAUAAUUUCUUAUCUCAUCCUUCAGAUUCUAAAACUAAAGUAGUGGAUAAAUCCUUUAGCCAUCCACUGAAUUUAAAAGGAGUGAAAUUGAGGCUCUUCCGCCAAUUAAUGGAAAGUAUUUGGACAGAACGAUAAAGCUCCGUCUGAGAAUAUUGAGUUUUUUGUUUCAGUGCUGCAACUUAUGAUGUCAUGGUUCAAAAAAUUAAUAAAAAUUGGUUUUUUUAUCCAAUUUUUUAAGCAAUUAGAUUCAAAAAGCAAAAAUUGAAACUUUCUUUUUAAAUGCAAUAUUUUUCUCAUUCAAAGAACUUCAAAAGCACCAAAUUUGUAUUGAGUUCCAAAAACAUAUUUUUUUAAUAUUUUUUUCAUUUUUUUUACGAUUUGUUUUCACUUUUUUUUAUGAAAAAAAUAAUUUAAAUGAUCAAUAAUCAAGCAUUUUUAUUAAAAAAAUUUACUAAUAUGUAAAAUUCAAAUUAUUUUCUUUUAUAUUUUUAUUUUUGAAAAAUGUCAUAAUUGUUUUUUUUUAUUAUAAAUCGAAUAUAAAAAAAUAAUUUUUUUGAGUUUAAGUAUAAUUUUUCAUGAUUGCUUUUAAUUUAACUACUAUAAAAUAAUAGUUUGUAUUCAGAUUAUCAUAAAUAUGAAAAAAUAUGAUUUUAUAUUCCCAUGACCCGUUGCCUUGUCUAUCUAUAUCUUCUUGUUGAUAAGUAUUUCGGUAUUGGGAAUAAUUGGUUCAUCUAUUUAACAAAAUUAUAUAAUAGUUUCAAAGUGCACAAAAAUUACUAGGAAUUAUAUCUAAUAAAUUGGUACCCUUAUUUUCUUUUGAUGCAGGGGUUUACAAGUUUGGAAACAUUGAAGUUGUCCUCCCUGCUUGUGCCUGACUUGAGGUGUAUAUGGAAGGGUCUCGUGCCAUGCAAUUUGACUACUUUGGAGGUGAAAGAGUGUAAGAGGCUGACACAUGUAUUCACAGACAGCAUGAUUGCUAGUCUUGUUCAACUGAAAGUUCUAGAGAUAUCAAAUUGUGAGGAAUUGGAGCAAAUCAUUGCUAAGGAUAAUGAUGAUGAAAAGGAUCAGAUAUUUUCAGGAAGUGAUCUCCAAUCUGCAUGCUUUCCUAAUUUGUGUCGACUUGAGAUUAGAGGAUGCAACAAGUUGAAGAAGUUGGAGGUGGAUGGAUGCCCAAAGCUGACCAUAGAAUCUGCUACUACAUCAAAUGACUCAAUGAGUGGUCAAUCAGAGGUGCUGCUGAUUUGACUUGAUUUCUUGCCUCUCAUUUAGUUUUAAAAGUGCGCAAUAAUUACUAUGAAUUACAUCUAACAACUUGGUACCCUUGUUUUCUUUUGAUGCAGGGGUUUAUGAAUUUGAAAGAAAUAUCUAUUGGAAACUUGGAAGGAGUACAAGAUUUAAUGCAAUUUGAACGUUUGGUAACUAAUAGAAGAGGUGGGCAUGAACUUUCACUCGUGAGUUUGGAAACAUUACAGUUGAACUUAUUGCCUGACUUGAGGUGUAUAUGGAAGGGCCUAGUGCCGAGCAAUUUGACUACUUUGAAGGUGAAAAGGUGUAACAGACUGACACAUGUAUUCACAGACAGCAUGAUUGCUAGUCUAGUUCAACUGAAAGUUCUAGAGAUAUCAAACUGUGAGGAAUUGGAGCAAAUCAUUGCUAAGGAUAAUGAUGAUGAAAAGGAUCAGAUAUUUUCAGGAAGUGAUCUCCAAUCUGCAUGCUUUCCUAAUUUGUGUCGACUUGAGAUCAGAGGAUGCAACAAGUUGAAGAGUCUCUUCCCAGAAGCCAUGGCUUCAGGUCUCAAAAAGCUCCAAAUACUUAAAGUAAGAGAAUCCUCUCAAUUAUUGGGAGUAUUUGGGCAGGAUGAUCAUGCUUCACCUGUCAAUGUUGAGAAGGAGAUGAUGCUCCCUGAUCUGCAGGAGUUGUUGCUUGUACAAUUACCAAGUAUUUCCUGCUUUAGUCUCGGAUGUUAUGAUUUCUUGUUCCCUCAUUUGAAGAAGUUGGAGGUGGAUGGAUGCCCAAAGCUGACCACAGAAUCUGCUACUACAUCAAAUGACUCAAUGAGUGCUCAAUCAGAGGUGCUGCUGAUUUGACUUGAUUUCGUGCCUCUUAUUUAGUUUUAAAAGUGCGCAAUAAUUACUAUGAAUUACAUCUAACAAAUUGGUACCCUUGUUUUCUUUUGAUGCAGGGGUUUAUGAAUUUGAAAGAAAUAUCUAUUGGAAACUUGGAAGGAGUACAAGAUUUAAUGCAAGUUGGACGUUUGGUAACUAAUAGAAGAGGUGGGCGUGAACUUUCACUCGUUAGUUUGGAAACAUUACGCUUGAACUUAUUGCCAGACUUGAGGUGUAUAUGGAAGGGUAUCCUGCCGAGCAAUUUGACUACUUUGAAGGUGAACGACUGUAAGAGACUGACACAUGUAUUCACAGACAGCAUGAUUGCUAGUCUAGUUCAACUGAAAGUUCUAGAGAUAUCAGCUUGUGAGGAAUUGGAGCAAAUCGUUGCUAAGGAUAAUGAUGAUGAAAAGGAUCAGAUAUUUUCAGGAAGUGAUCUCCAAUCUGCAUGCUUUCCUAAUUUGUGUCGACUUGAGAUUAGAGGAUGCAACAAGUUGAAGAAGUUGGAGGUGGAUGGAUGCCCAAAGCUGACCAUAGAAUCUGCUACUACAUCAAAUGACUCAAUGAGUGGUCAAUCAGAGGUGCUGCUGAUUUGACUUGAUUUCUUGCCUCUCAUUUAGUUUUAAAAGUGCGCAAUAAUUACUAUGAAUUACAUCUAACAACUUGGUACCCUUGUUUUCUUUUGAUGCAGGGGUUUAUGAAUUUGAAAGAAAUAUCUAUUGGAAACUUGGAAGGAGUACAAGAUGUUAGCGUGAGCUGUACAGUUUAGGAAUUAAUGUUGGCGUGAGCUGUAGAAUCCAAUAUAGGAAUUAUAUUUUUAAUAUUCUGUAAUUGUAUAUAUCCCAAUAUAUAUGGGAUUAAUGUUACUUACCUAGAUAGUUAUCUUGGGAAGGGUUUCUCUAUAUAAGAGAACCACUCUGUAACGUUUGAAGAAUAAGAAAAAGAAGGGAAUACACAGGGCGGCUGCUCUCUGAUUUAUCAUGGUAUCAGAGCUACGUUCCAUUAUUUGUUUCUUGAAGAUCUAGCAAACAACCUAAGGAAAAUAAAGCAUGGCCACACCAAUUGACUUGAUUGAACAAGAACAACCGAAUACAGCUACAACUCUUGAUGAUCUCACGACGAGAAUGGCUCAAAUUGUAACCCAAAACCAGACCCAGACCCCAUCAGUAAUCUAUGAUACUGUUGCUGUACCGAUUGGUAUCAAACUUGAUGGUACCAACUAUGCUUUAUGGUCCCAAAUUGUGGAGAUGUAUAUCUCAGGAAAAGACAAGUUGGGAUACAUAAAUGGUGACCUUCCACAACCAGAACCGAAUGAUCCCCACUUCAGGAGAUGGAGAACAGAAAACUCUAUUGUUAAGGGAUGGCUUAUUAACUCAAUGGAGCCGUCUCUCAUAGGAAACUUUAUCCGAUUUUCCACGGCCAAACAGGUAUGGGACUCGAUCGCCACUACUUACUUUGAUGGAUCCGAUACUUCUCAGGUGUAUGAUUUGAAGCGACGAGUAACACGAAUGAAACAAUCAGGAGAGUCCAUUGAAACAUACUACAAUUGCCUCCAAGGCUUAUGGAGGGAAAUUGAUUUCCGUAGACCAAAUCCUAUGGAAUGUGCUGUUGAUAUUCAAAAGUAUAAUGCUUUGCUUCAAGAGGAUCGAGUGUAUACUUUUUUGGAUGGACUAGAUGAUAGGCUGGACAAUAUACGUAGUGAUGUGCUCCAACUGAAACCUUUCCCAACGGUUGAACAAGCUUAUGCCUAUGUUCGAAGGGAAGCUAUUAGACAGACGGUUAUGCUCACUAAUAAUGGAAAUUCUCCUGCUGCAGCAAUGGUUUCUAGGGGAGGGAAAGCCUACUUACCUCGACAGCAAGCACUCCAAAUAACCAGAUCAGGGACGUCUUCAUCAAGAGGGCGUAACAAUUAUCACCUAGCAAAGACUAAAGGACAGGUGGAGAGUGAAAGCAGUGGCUGUUCUCAUUGUGGAAACAUGAAGCAUACACGGGACACUUGCUUCAAACUGCAUGGCUAUCCAGAAUGGUGGAAUGAAUUAAAAACACGGAAGCAGAGGGUUGUUGCUGGGGACACAGGACAAGCAUCUUUGGCAGACACUAAGCCACAAUUAUCGUUAGCUCCACUUGUAGAAUCUGGAGACGAUGCCAUAAUUCUGCCUAAGGAUCAAGGUAAUACAGGAACUAAAACCGACUGGAUAGUGGACUCUGGUGCAACGGAUCACAUGACUUUUUGUUCAGGAGACUUUGCUAAUACUACAGAACCAAGGCGAACUGGUAUAACCAAUGCCAAUGGGGUUGUCUACCCUGUCACAGGAGCUGGAACAGUGCACAUAUCACCCUCCAUAUCAUUAACCAAUACUUUAUUAGUGCCUUCUCUAUCAAAUAAAUUGUUAUCUGUGAGCCAAGUUACCGAAGACCUAAACUGUGUAGCACUAAUGUAUCCAAAAUUUUGCCUUUUUCAGGAUAUUCUCACGGAGGAGAUCAUUGGGCGUCGUACUAAGAGAGAGGGGUUAUACUACAUGGAUGACUUUAAUUCCGGCAGAGUCAACACCGUGAGUCGAUCUUUACUGACAAAAGAAAACCAGAUUUGGCUAUGGCAUUAUCGGUUGGGACAUCCAUCUUUUAGCUACAUGAAGUAUUUAUUUCCGAAAUUGUUUUUGAAUUUGAAUUAUUCAGACUUUAAAUGUGAAACUUGCAUCCUUGCCAAGAGUCAUCGUGUAUCCUUUCCGAUUAGCUUGAAUAAAAGUGAUACUCCUUUUGCCUUGGUUCACUCUGAUGUUUGGGGACCAUCUCCCAUUACCACUGUCUCUGGCAUACGUUGGUUUGUUACCUUCGUGGAUGAUUGUACUAGGAUGACAUGGCUCUAUUUACUGAAGCGCAAAAAUGAAGUUUUUGAUGUGUUUCGUAUGUUUCACGCUAUGGUUCAUAAUCAAUUUUCAGCAAACAUACGGAUUUUUCGAUCGGAUAAUGGGGGAGAAUAUGUGAAUAAUAACUUUUCAGCAUUUUUUCACAGGAACGGUAUUCUCCAUGAAUUAUCCUGUAGUCAAACUCCACAACAAAAUGGAGUGGCAGAACGGAAAAACCGACAUAUUCUAGAAACUGCACGGGCAUUAUUAUUUGGAGCACAGGUGCCUAGUAGACAUUGGGAUGAUAGUGUUACUACUGCUGUCUAUUUAUUGAAUCGAAUGCCUUCAAAAACCUUGGACUUCAAGACUCCUCUACAGGUUUUGUCACGACAUGUUACUCUACCAUCUAUACUGUUACUUCCACCGCGUGUGUUCGGCUGCGUGACAUUUGUUCAUAUACAUAAACAUCAACGAACAAAACUUGAACCGUGUGCUGUUCGUUGUAUGUUUCUUGGGUAUGGCUCGAAUAAGAAGGGAUUCCGCUGCUAUGAUCCUAAAACCAAACGACUCUAUACUACAAUGGAUGUUACUUUCCUAGAGUCAGAAUAUUUUUACUCAUCCACGACAUCAACUUCUCCUCUCUAGGGGGAGACGUGGGAUGAAGAGAAGAAGUGGUGGAACACUGAAGCUGCUGAGAAUAUGGUAACGGUUUCAACCCCAGCUGAGACUGAAGCUGCUGAGAGUAUAUCCACGGGUCCAACUGAGGCUGCUGAUAUAGCCACGGUUCCAAACAUGGUAGCUGAAGGUGUUGCAGAGACAGAGUGCAUUAAUAACAGUAAGACAGUUGAUGAGGAGGACCAACAAACUGCACCCGACAGAAUGAGUAAAACCCCCUCUCUUGAAGUACCCGACAAUGAAACUCCUUUGCAUGAGGAUAUUCCUGAGGUAAUUUCUCCUACACCAUCCACCAGUAAUAUUUUGAAUUCUUCUGCUAGCUAUCACUUACCUUUCAGGCAGAACAGAGGCAAGCCUCCAGCCCGGUACUCACCAGAUAUGGCAGGAAAGAAAUCAAAGUACCCCGUCUCCAAUUAUGUAUCCACACAAAGACUGCCUAUGCUUCUCAAGGCCUUUGCAUACAAGUUGUCCUCCUGCCAUAUCCCUUAUGGAAUUCAUGAAGCAUUAGCAGAUCCCAAAUGGUCCCAAGCAAUCCAAGAAGAAAUGGCAGCCCUAGAAAAGAACAAAACAUGGGACAUUGUCACAUUACCACAAGGGAAGAAAACCGUUGGGUGUAAGUGGGUAUUCUCCACCAAAUAUAAAGCAGAUGGAUCCAUUGAGCGACACAAGGCAAGAUUGGUAGCGAAGGGGUAGACACAGACUUAUGGGAUAGAUUAUCAGGAGACGUUUUCUCCAGUAGCAAAACUGAACACAGUCAGAGUUUUGUUAUCCUUGACUGCAAAUUUAGAUUGGCCACUACACCAAUUUGAUGUGAAAAAUGCCUUCCUUCAUGGAGACCAUGAGGAGGAAGUGUAUAUGGAUAUCCCACCAGGAUAUACUUCAACCAAACCCGGAACUGUCUGCAGAUUACAACGAGCUUUAUAUGGAUUAAAGCAGUCACCACGCGCAUGGUUUGGUCGAUUUAGCAUGGCUAUGAGAAAGUAUGGUUUUCAACAGAGCAACUCAGAUCAUACCCUCUUCCUGAAGAAGCAACAAGGAAAGGUAAUUGUCCUGAUAAUUUAUGUAGAUGAUAUGAUCAUUACAGGAGAUGAUGAAGAAGAAAUUAAAAGAUUGCAAGAGCAGCUAUUUACCGAAUUUGAAAUGAAGAACUUAGGUGGACUUAAGUACUUCUUAGGGAUUGAAGUGGCUAGAUCAAAGCGGGGAAUUUUUCUCUCACAAAGAAAGUAUGUAUUGGACCUACUGACUGAAGUAGGAAUGCUUGACUGCAAACCGGCAGACACUCCAACCGUUCAGAAUCAAAAACUUGGAUUGUAUCCUGAUCAGGAACCAGCUGAUAAAGACAGGUAUCAACGAUUGGUAGGUAAACUGAUUUACUUAUCUCAUACUCGUCCAGAUAUUUCUUACGCUGCCAGCCUAGUUAGUCAAUUCAUGCAUUGUCCUAGCAAGGAUCACAUGGAUGCAGUUGGUCGAAUACUUCAGUACCUAAAAUCCGCUCCAGGAAGAGGACUUAUGUUCUUGAAGAAUGGUCAUUUGGAUAUUGAAGGUUACACGGAUGCUGACUGGGCAGGAAAUUUGUUUGAUAGAAAAUCUACAUCUGGCUACUUCACUUUCGUCGGUGGUAACUUGGUUACAUGGAGGAGUAAAAAACAGAAAGUGGUAGCUUUGUCGAGUGCCGAGGCUGAGUUCAGAGGAAUGGCUAAAGGCCUUUGCGAACUUCUUUGGAUUAGAAGACUACUCUCUGAAAUUGGUUUCACUCCUAAGUCAGGAAUGAACCUGUACUGCGAUAAUAAAGCUGCAAUUGCAAUUUCUCAAAAUCCAAUUCAGCAUGACCGGACGAAACAUAUCGAGAUAGACCGACAUUUCAUUAAACAGAAUCUUGAAGAAGGAGUGAUUUGCUUUCCUUUUGUUAGAUCAGAAGACCAACUUGCUGAUAUGCUCACAAAGGCUGUCUCCAACAAAAACUUUCGUGACUCACUUAACAAGUUGGGCAUAGAAGAUAUCUUUGCACCAACUUGAGGGGGAGUGUUAGCGUGAGCUGUACAGUUUAGGAAUUAAUGUUGGUGUGAGCUGUAGAAUCCAAUAUAGGAAUUAUAUUUUUAAUAUUCUGUAAUUGUAUAUAUCCCAAUAUAUAUGGGAUUAAUGUUACUUACCUAGAUAGUUAUCUUGGGAAGGGUUUCUCUAUAUAAGAGAACCACUCUGUAACGUUUGAAGAAUAAGAAAAAGAAGGGAAUACACAGGGCGGCUGCUCUCUGAUUUAUCACAAGAUUUAAUGCAAUUUGAACGUUUGGUAACUAAUAGAAGAGGUGGGCAUGAACUUUCACUCGUGAGUUUGGAAACAUUACAGUUGAACUUAUUGCCUGACUUGAGGUGUAUAUGGAAGGGCCUAGUGCCGAGCAAUUUGACUACUUUGAAGGUGAAAAGGUGUAACAGACUGACACAUGUAUUCACAGACAGCAUGAUUGCUAGUCUAGUUCAACUGAAAUUUCUAGAGAUAUCAAAUUGUGAGGAAUUGGAGCAAAUCAUUGCUAAGGAUAAUGAUGAUGAAAAGAAUCAGAUAUUUUCAGGAAGUGACCUCCAAUCUCCAUGCUUCCCUAAUUUGUGUCGACUUGAGAUCACAGGAUGCAACAAGUUGAAGAGUCUCUUCCCGGUAGCCAUGGCUUCAGGUCUCAAAAAGCUCCAGAUACUUAAAGUAAGAGAAUCCUCUCAAUUAUUGGGAGUAUUUGGGCAGGGUGAUCAUGCUUCACCUGUCAAUGUUGAGAAGGAGGUGGUGCUCCCUCAUCUGUUGCAGCUGAUUCUAGAAGAAUUACCAAGCAUUGUCUACUUCAGUCAUGGAUGUUAUGAUUUCAUAUUCCCUCGUUUGUGGAACUUGGAGGUGCGUCAAUGUCCAAAGCUGACCACAAGAUUUGCUACUACAUCAAAUGGUUCAAUGAGUGCUCAAUCAGAGGUGUUGCAUAUUUGACAUGAUUUCUUGCCUCUCUUUAAGUGUUUUUAUUUCUUGUUUCCCUCAAUAAUAAGACUUACAAGUUAGAAUAUGUAUGCCAUGCUUGAAUUGGCUUUGCAGGUAUCUCAAGUAGCUGAGGGUUCCAGCACUGGUUGCUCCGUGCCAACCAGCAGUUGUAGAACGUGGACCUCAUAUAAUGGGUGGGAAGAGGAAAAAGAGGAAGAGGAUGGAGUCAGAUGAUUAGUUUGGCAUUGGAAUUUGAAAAGCAUGCUAGUAAUUCAUUCUUGCAGGUAAAAUGGCUGCAACUAUUUAUCUUGUAUCCUUGUUUAAAUGGUUGGAUUAAAUCAACAAAUACGAGAUGCCUGGAUGAUCUUUGUUCUUGAUGUUUGCAUUAGGUUGGGUUGGUUGGUUACCUAUGUGAUGAUCAACUCGACAUUGGUGGGAAGUAAUUCCAGCUGUUUCAUUAGCUACAACAAUUUGUCUUAUUUCAUGUGUUUGUUGUGUGAACUUCCAGAAAUAUUGUGUGUUUAAUAAUUUAUUGUGCGAACCUUCAAAAAAGGGCUUUUGUUUGUUUGCCCAUUUGUGUUUCUUUUUCAAGUGUCUGAACCUUUGGAAGUUUCCACAGUUCCUGACAGCUUAGGUUAAGGCUACAAUAGGGAGUAGUGUUGUAAUCUUUCAACACCUACUAUGAGACAGAUUGUACUUUAUAACAAAACUCUGUGAAGACAUGGAAGGGGGUCCUGUCAAUUAAUGAAUAAAACUUUGUCAAAAUGAUUGCCAACUUUGCUUUCACGGCAGAUACAAUUAAUUAAUACUUUGAUGGGUAAUGUCAUGUGUUUUUAUACAAUAUUUAUUUUAAUUAAAAAUAUAUUAAAAUAAUAUUUUUUAAAUAUUGAUAUAUUAAAAUUAUUAAAAAAACAUAUAAAAACAUUGAUUUAAUGUUUUUUUUUAAAUUAAAUCAAUUUUAAAAACAUUUUAAGAAAAUAAAUUGAAUAGUAAAAACAAUUGAGAUUGUGGUAAUUAUUGUUUUUCAAGUGUUUUUUAUUAAAAAAUAAAUCAAGAUAAUAUAUUAAUUUAAUUUUUUUAAAAAUUCAUCUACUUUGCCUUCACCAAAAUACAAUUCUUUUGUAUUCUUGUGUCAUUAAACAUUUCAUAGUGAUAGUGCAAUGGAAUCUCGAGAUUUUAAUUUUUUUUUCAUCUUAUUUCUAAAUUUGGAACAAUUACUCAACAUUCUUGCUCUUAUUUUUGAACAAAAUAGACGUGCUAUUUUUAAUAGUUGAUACUAUAUGUCAUAUCAAAUUGAUUAUAUAUAUAUAUAUAUAAUCAAUUUACAAAUUUAUUGACAGAAUAUGAAAUUCCAAUAUAUAAGUAAAAGGAUAAAUCCUCUAGCUUUGAAAAGAAUUAGUGUUUGCCUUUGAGAUUGUAAUAUUUUUUUUCAGCGUAUAUUCAAUUUAAUAUUUUUAAUAAUACAAAUGAAAAUAAACAGCAAAUUUAAUUUAUAAAUGUAACUAUCUCAAAACAAUGUUGAGAAGGAAGAAAGAUUAGUAGAAUAAAAAUAAAAUUAAUAGACUUUUAAAAAGCAAAGAGUUUUUAAUGUUAAAAAUAAUUUUUUUAUUUAAUAGACCCAAUUUUGUAUUUUUUUUUUAAAAGAUAACUCUAUUUUAAUUCUGAUUCUUUAGCAACACAGUUUUUCAUUCACCAUAACACACAUUUUUUUUUUUAAAUAGUUAACAUGUCAUAUUAAUGAGGAGAGGUAUUUGAAUUGGGUGAGGCUGAUGAAGGAACUAACGAGGAGAAGGAGCUGCCGCUGCUGUCAUCUUUAACAGAGUUACGGCUGUACUGGUUACCUGAGCUCAAAUAUAUAUGGAAGGGGCCCACUAGAUAUGCUGAAAUUGUGGUAUCUUACCAAACUGACAUUUAUCUUCACACCGUCCUUGGCUUAGAGUCUUAUUAUUCAUCUGGAAACACUACAGAUAGAACAUUGCGGUGGAUUGAAGCGUCUUAUCAGAGUCUCUUGGAUUUCCAGGAUUAAAAAAUCUCUAUACAAGAGGCUGUGUUAAACUGGAACAUGUCUUCCCUGUCUCCGUGUCUCCAAGUCUUCUGAACAGAUAACGAUUAAAUUUGCUGACAAUUUAAAGCAAAUAUUUUACAGUGGAGAAGGAGAUGCACUCACCAGAGAUGGCAUCAUCAACUUCCCUCGGCUAAGACAAUUGAUUCUUUCAAAGUGCAGCUUUUUUGGCCCAAAGAAUUUUGCUGCCCAAUUGCCUUCUUUGCAAGUGUUAGCCAUUGAAGGCCACGAACAAUUGGGUAAUUUGCGGGCACAGCUACAAGUACGUCUUUUAUAUUUCUCCCCUGAUUUUUUACUUUUAAAUUUAAAUUGUCAAAUUCAAUACAUUGUGAUAAUUUCUUAUUUCUUCCUUCAGAUUUCUAAAACUAAAGUAAUGGAUAAAUGGUAGCAAAUCCUUUAGCCAUCCACUGAAUUUAAAAGGAGUGAAAUUGAGGCCUUUCCGCCAAUUAAUAAAAAAUGGUUUUUUUUAUCCAAUUUUCUAAACAAUUAGAGUCAAAAAGUAAAAAUUGAAACUUUCUUUUUAAAUACAAUAUUUUCACAUUAAAAGACCUUCAAAAGCAACAAAUUUGUAAUUAAACAAAUAUAUUUUUGUCUCUUAUGUAUUUGUUUAUUCUAACUUUAAAUACUAAUUAAACACAGUCUAAUUUUUUUUAAUUUGAUUUAUGAUUUUAAAAAAAAAAACAUUUGAUUAUCACAACAUAGAAUAAAAGUUUAAAAAAGAAACAUUCACGGGCCUACACAAUACAUGAGCUGAUUAAAUGGCGACAAUCCCAUUAGCAAAUUUGUGCUACAAAUGACAAAAUAAAAAUAAACUCAGCAAACAAGAUCAGUCCUAAUUAAUUUUGUCAACUAUUGGCAUAUUCCAAACUAUCAAGCAUUGAACCUUUCCAAAUUAAUUGUUUUUUUUUUUUUCAAUUUGUUUUGGUCUAAUUGCAUUGAUUGGUUGGUUGAUUGAAUGAAUGGUGCAGUCCCCAUUUUCAUUUACUUUUGGCAUUACACAAAAACAUCCCUUUCAAGUUACAAAACGACGUGCAGCUCAGUCAAUGCCUUCAUUGCCUAGCGCCUUCAAAAAAUCAACUGCUUAGUUAGAUUCGUCCUUGGCUUGCUUAGAGCGACAGCCACAUUAAAUGACAGCCACCGAAAUGUUUGACAUGUGGCCUACAAUGUGAAUUAUGUGUUAACAAUUAGCUAAUUUUUUAAUUCUCUUAAUUUAAUUAAUUUAAUUAGUUACGGGGGUGGCUGAUAGGUAGUAUCUAAUAAGUAAAAAAUGCUUAAAUAUUUAUGUAGUGAGAGAAAGUAUAAUGAUACAGAGAUAAAUUUUAAAAAUACAUAUUUUAAAAAUGUUAAAAAUAAAAAAAUUAUAUAUUUAUAACUUAUAAGUCUUGUUUUUUUUUUUAAAGAAGAGAGAUUAAAAAGUAAUUUUAUUUUGUGAUAUUUUAAGUUAUAUUUUAUUUAAAAUAAUAUGGGUUUGAUUAAUAUAAAAUAUUAAAAGAUUUGUACAUGAUAUUAAAAAAAAUUUAAACAAAAUAUUGGGCCUAAGCCUAGUAGAAGUAAAAAAUAAACUUACGAACAAGGUAUAUGGAUCCAGGCAGUGCUUGUAAAAACCUAGAGCAGUUAGGCUUUUGGGAGUUUUUUUAAGCCAAUUAAAUUUUGGUCUAAAGCAAAUAGAAGUGAUAAUCUCUUAUUUUCUUCCUGAAAUUCUUGACGUUUAGGCUGGGAAUAAAUUUAGCCUAGAAAAUUGAGGGAAAGUAGCUGAAAUAAUUUAAAACCAUUUAAGAUUUUUGUCAGUUUAGCUAGUUUAGUCGUUCCCUUUUGACUUAUUAAAGCCAGUUAUUGUGCUCAAUUAAAGCUCGAUCUUCAAAAGCUCGAUCUUCGAAUCUUCUUCUAAAAUCUUUAAUUUUGCUCUGAUAUUUAUGAAAAUGUAAUUCAUUAUUAAACCCUAAAAACUUCUAUAACUCCAUUCUCAAUCCCAAAAUUUUGACUUGAUUUUGUCAUAAGUUUUGAUUUAAAUCAAAAGUUAAUUCUAGUCAAAACUCUUACCAAAUAUAAUUUAAAUUUUGACUUAAAUCAAGAUUUGUUAUAAAAUUGAGUCAAAGCUUUACUUUAAUAAAAAAAUAAAAUUUUAAAAUUUUAACUUAUGAUAUAUUUUUUUCUUGAGUAAAAAGUAAAAAAAAAACAACUUAAAUUAAUUUACAAAACUGAACCAUAUACAAUCAAAAUUUGGACUUAUAUCGAAAGUUUGUUAUUUCACAGUUAAUAAUCGAAAGUUACUUUAAAUUAUGACUUGAAGUCAGAAGUUACUUUUCAUAAAUGAUGCCUAGAGAAAAGGGGGGAAAUAAUGCAAUCUGGGUCAUUGUGGAUCGACUAACUAAGUCUGCCCUUUUCCUACCAGUAAAGAUGAUAGAUCCAGUUGAUAAGUUGGCUAAGAUUUAUGUGAACAAAGUUGUAAGGUUUCAUGGAGUCCCAACAUCAAUUGUUUCAAACCGAGACCCAAGAUUUACUUCACGUCUCUGGCCGAGCAUACAACAUGCCUUGGGAACAAAUUUGAGUAUCAGUACUGCCUUUCAUCCGUAGACUGAUGGCCAAUCUGAGAGAGUUAUUCAGAUCUUAGAAGAUUUACUAAGGGCAUGUGCUUUGGAAUUUGGUGGAAACUAGGAGGAGCACCUGUCACUAGUAGAAUUCACGUAUAACAACAGUUAUUAGACAACAAUUGAAAUGGCCCCAUUUGAAGCUCUUUAUGGCAGAAAGUGUAGGACACCCUUGUGUUGGGAAGAAGUUGGGGACAAAAAGCUGUAUAGGGCAGAAUUAGUACAAAUCACUACUAAAAAAGUGAGGAUUAUUAAGGAUCGAAUAAAGGCGGCUCAGGAUAGACAGAAGAAGUAUGCAGAUAUUCGAAGAAGACCACUUGAAUUUUGUCCUGGAGAUAAAGUAUUUCUGAAGGUAGGUCCAUGGAAGCACAUGCUGAGAUUCGGCAUGAAGGGAAAGUUAGCCCCGAGGUUCAUUGGACCAUUUGAAAUCCGAAAAUGUAUCGGACCUGUAGCAUAUGAAAUAAACUUGCCCUCACAGUUGGCCAAGGUUCACAAUGUAUUCCAUGUUUCUUUGCUGCGAAAAGCCGAUGUAGACCCUUCGAGAGUGUUACCUCAAGUGCCAGUGGAGGUAAAAGAAGACUUAACACUUGAGGUAAGACCGAUAAAGAUACUCGAUUGGGGCGAGAAAGAACUUCGUAAUAAGAAAGUUCCCAUCAUCAUAGUCUUAUGGCGAAGCUCACAAAUCGAGGAAGAAACAUGGGAGAGAGAAUCAGAAAUGAGACUAAAAUUCCCCGACUUGUUUAUAAAUUCAAGUACAUCACUCAAAUUUCGAGGACAAAAUUUCUAUUAGGAGGGGAGAAUGUAAACCCCAAGAAAAAUAAAUAAAUAAAAGUGAAGAAAUUCAUGUAUAUGGUUAAAUAAAAAACAGGAAUUCAAAAAAAUUUUAAUAUGAAUUUCCGGGUGAAAUAAUUCGAGAUAUUAUAAUGAACCCGGUACUGCUAAGGGUUGGAUUUAAUUGAAGAGAAAAAAAAAUACACUUAAAGGAAAAAGGGGGCCUAAAUGCAAAUAAGGGAAAAUAUAGAGUAUAAAUACUCUCUCCUCACCAAAACAAAAUCUGUAUAAACCAUAAGGAGAGAAGAUAAGGAGUUUUAUACCCAUUCUUGAGAAAUCAAGAGAGAAACACUAACAUUUCAAGAACCCAUCCAAGAUUUAGAGCUUAUAGAUGGAAUAAACACUUGAGAGCGAAUGAUUACCAAGAAAUUGAACAAGAAGAAAAGAAAGGAGGGAGUUGAAAAUCUUCAACUGGUUGAAGAUCAAGAUCUUAAUUUGUAGCAGGUAAGGUAUUCUAAACAUGAGCUUAAAAAAAAUUCAUUUUUAAAUUCGAUAAAGAAUUGAUGCCUUGAUAUUGAAUCAUAGGUUAGGGUUCUUAGACAUAAAUUGGGGAAAAAGUACUUAUUGUUGAGAUUAAGUUAAUUUAUGUGUGUGGUAUGUAGUUUAUGAAAGUAUUGUGUGAAGGGGAGGGGGAGACAACUCUGGACAGACUUGUCUCCUGACUUUCGGUGAGAUUUUUGGAUAGGAGGAUGAGGGAAUUAGGAUUGGAUUCCUCAUAGAAAUUAUAGAUUUGAAUGUUAGCUAACUAAGGAAACUAGUCUUGCUCAAUUUGAAGAUGUAGAACUCCAGUUAUGGGUUACCAACCGAAACUGAGUCGUGACUGAUUAUGUAGGGCAGUAGGACUGAUUAGUUGAUGAGCAAUUUUGACUAUCUUGGAGGCAGAACUAGGUUAUCCUUCAUUAGAGAACUGAUAGCCUUGUGUCUUAGCUUUCUAACGAGAUCAAUCUCACUUAAAAUGGAGUUUUAGAACUUUAGAUAUAGUUAAAAAUCUGAUGAGUGUUCAGAUAGUAACAGUUCAAAGUCAGACAAUAACGGUUCAAAGUCAGACAGUAACAGUUGGAAUUGGACAGUAACAGUUGGAAUUGGACAGUAACAGUUCAAAGUCAGACAGUAAUGGUUCAAAGUCAGACAGUAACAGUUGGAAAAUUGGACAGUAACAGUAGACUUUCACGUGAAUACUAUAAAUAAGAAUAUUAAAGAAUUGAGUCAUAUGAACGCUUACACAUUGAGAUACUAACUCUGAUAAUAUAUAUGAUAUAUGUAUGUAUGUUAUUAUGAGGAAAUGAACAUGCAUAGAAAGUAACAUAUGAGUAAUGGAUGAAUAUGAAUUCUCUAUAAUAUCGGCUUGAAGGAAUCAUAACCAAAAAACUUCCUUGUGAUUCAGGAGGAGCAACCAAGAUUGGAUCUUCUGUUAGGGGAGGUCGUGAGACAGGCGAAGCAGGUGCGUGAUUUUCCUCCUAUUUGCACUUAUAUAAUUUAAAAUUCGUCUGGUGAAUGCAAUUACAAUAAGUGUCGUGUUCAAUGUAAAUAAAAUCUAGCGUAAAUACAAGAUUAGCUUCGGCUAAUGGCAUCCAUGAUAGGAUUGCCGGGAUAUGAAUUACAAGAUUAGCUUCGGCUAAUGGCAUCCACGAAAGGAUUGUCGGGAGAUGAUUUACACAAUUAGCUUAGGCUAAUGGCAUCCAUGAUAGGAACGCCGGGAAAUGGAUUAUAGGAUUAGACCUUGCAAGGUCACCCAGUUCAUGCAAGUAAAUAAGAUUAUUCAAUUAAGAAUAUACAAAUGAGUGUUAAUUGGGUUGUAAAGAUUUACAAGCAAAAUAUAAGUUCUCUGUUAGAAUUCUUAUGGUUCGAUAAAAAGUUAAUACUUCAUUCGUAUUUAUUACAUGAUCAUACAUAUAUUCUUUAUCAACAUAAUGAUAUAUUUAUUUAUGUAACAGGUCCAUCAAACAUCUAGGAAGAUCAUUAGUUUAGGACUCUACUUUGUGAAACUUAUGUAAAUAUUUAACUUAAACAAAAGGAAAUUAACGUGUUUAUGUAGUAUAUUUUUGUGUAAACCUUGAUGUAUUUAUAAAAUUUCAGCUUAGCAUUUAGUAUUUUAGUUAUCUUGUAAUUAACCCUUUUGAAAUAGUUAGGAACACUUAUUAUGUUGUAAAUACUUUCUUUGCAUGUUAGUAUUCCUUUUCUCUUAAAUUUUAUGAUAUGAUGUUUGGACUAUGUUCAUAUUGAUCUUACUCGUAGGAUAUAUAUAUAUAUAUAUAUUGUGUGGAAUUAUGAGGUUUGAUAUAAGGUCCGGAAUUAUGGGACCUUGUGAUGAUGGGUUGAUUGAGUAAAUUGACAGUAGUCGAUAACUUGGGAUGUCCUAAAUGCAAAAGAAACUCUGCCGAAUUUUUGAGAAAAAAAAAUCCACACUCAAAUAAAAAGGAUAUGUUGUGAUCUUUUAACAUUGAUUGAGUCGUACAGUCGGACUGUUACAUAUAUAAUCUAUGUUCUCAUGAAAAAAGUUAUGUUUUUUCAAUGUGGGAUUUGAAACCCAUUAGUAUAUAUACUCUACGUUCCUAAGAAAAAAAUCAUGUUUUUUCAAUGUGGGAUAAAAAUCUUUUUGGUUUAAAUACUUCAACUUAAAAGGAUAACAUAUUAUCUUUUCAAUGUGGUAUUUGAAGCCCUUUCAUAUAUAUACUCUAUAUUCCCAUGAAAAAAGUUAUGUUCUUUCAAUGUGGGAUUUGAAACUCAUUAGUAUAUAUACUCUAUGUUUCCAAGAAAAAAAUCAUGUUUUUUCAAUAUGGGAUAAAAAAACCUUUUGGUUUAAAUACUUCAACUUAAAGGAUAAUUAUUUUUUUAAAUAUUAUUUUAAACUUCAUUGUUUACAAUAUGUAUAACCUAUAUUUACAUGGAUUUUUUUCAUAUGAAAUAUUAAAAUUUUAAUUUUUUUUAAAAUUUUUCCGGGUUGAUCCAAGUUGACCCGGGUUGACCCAUAAAACUCGGGACCCGGUCCCUUGGCCGGGUCAACUCUCAGGCCGGGUUUAAUAACUAUGGUUCAAAUACUAUGAGAUAUUUAGUUGUUGCAAAUUCGUAAACUAAGGUUCUAUUUGGUAUGACAUUUACAAAUUAAUUUAAGUUGUUUUUUAAUUAAAAAAAUUCAUAAGUAUAUAUUUGCAAGAAAUAAGAAUAUGUUUGGCAUAUUUUUUCAAUUAUGAGUUUUGACUUUCAAAUAUAUUUCAAAAGUUAUUUUUUCAUAGAUAAUUACUGUUGUUACCCAUUUUUGGGUUCACAUAAAAAUGAGAAAAUACAAAAACAAUAUAUCAAAAGAAAUCCAAAAAAUAAUAGGAGCGAGAAAAGGAUUGCUGGAAUGCUGAAAAAAUGCCAAAAUUGGUUGAGAUUCAAAAAUGCAAAAGGUUGAAAUUUGACAGUGAGAGCCCUGUUGAUGAGGAAAAUUCAAUUUGAGGAAGAAAAGUCCAAAAUCAGAUGUUUAUGGACUCAAUUAAAUUUUAUCCAAGGUUUAAUUGAAUUUAUAGAGCGUUUGAUUGCAAGAAAAUUGAUUUUUGUAAGUCAAUUUAGGCUUUUAUCGGAAGAAAUUAAAGUUCUGGGGUCCAAUUGUAAUUUUAAAGAGUUAAUUUGGUCAAAUCAGGGGCUUAAUUGCAUAAUAAGGGUUUAAAAUAUAAAAAAGACUGCAAGUCUACAAGAGCUGACAAUAAGAGCAAGGCUGCUACAAAGGAUUUACAAUGGAAUUAGAAAUAAAAUUUAAGUCCACAUUGGCAUUGGCUUAAUCUACAAAAAUAUAGAAAAUCUACACUUGUUGACCUGCUUGCCCAUCCUUUUUUUCUACUUCUUCCUGACCUCCUAUUUGACUCUCAUUCUCACUCAUACAGUACUUCUUGAAGAAAUAACCAAAACACCUCAUCACAAAAGGCACUGAAGCUGCAAUCAAAAGAUAGCGAAAACGCACAGAUUCAUUAGGAGUAACAGCAAAAACCGCAGAUGCAUAGGUUAUCAUAAUUGAAGCUGUAGCAGCCCAUAUUUCAAGAUGGAAAGGGAACCUGUAAGUGAGAGAUGUAAUGACAAGUAUACAAGUGGAGAGAGCCAAAGUGUUUGAUAUCAAGAAAACAUAGAAAGCACGCUUUUGAGAUGCAUAAAUUGCUCUUCCUACACGAUCUCCUUCUUGCCAGACCCCUCCAGGAGGGUUCACCCCGGCCUGGAAAGUCACUGCUGCAAUCAAGGCCACAACUACUAGCAAAACAUUUCUAGCAUCGCUUGGUGAGUCUCUCACUUCAUCAUACUGAAAUUUCUUGAACCCGCUAGCACUUCUUUUAGUAUUGUUUUUUUUAGGCUGAGACAUUUUUACUUGGGCAAAGAUAUGUGGGAGAUACCAGCACUCUGGCUCUCAAGAAGUUACUUAUAUAGAGCCUCCGUUCUAAAGGAUGGGGCCCGCCCUAAUUAUCACAUGUUUCUUGUUGUAACCCAUUUUUAACUCCCAUAUAAAAAAGAAAAAAAUACAAAGAAAAAAAAGUCAGAAGAAAAAUAAAAAAAUAGUAGUAGUGAAAAGAAGAUGUCGGAGCGCCCAAAAAAUAGCUAAAAAAAAUGGUUAAGAAGGUUCAAAAAUACAAAGAUUAAAAUUUGACAGUAGUUUAUUGACUGAUGAGAGCCCUGUUGACUGAUGAGAGCCCUGUUGACAAAGAAAAUUCAAUUUAAGGAAAAAGUCUAAAAUCAGAUAUUUAUGGACUCAAUUAUAUUUUAUUGAAGGUUUAAUUGAAUUUAUAAAGGGUUUGAUUGCAAGAAAAAUUGAUUUUGAAGUCAAUUUGGGCUUUAAUUGAAAGAAAUUAAAAUUCUGGGGUCAAAUUAUAAUUUUUGAGAGUUAAUUUGAUCAAAUCAGGGGCUUGAUUGCAUAAAUAUUGAAGUUUGAAGGCCAAUUAGAGAUUUAAUUGAAGAAAUCCAAAACCAAGAACCAAACUAGAAAUCUCAGUGUUGAUUUUUAAGUUUAUAUAAAAUAUUUCAUUCUCAUCUAAAAAUAUUAAAAAGUAAGAAAGAAAAUCCAAAUUAAUAAAUAUAAAAACCUAAAAUAUGACAAAAUUUGAGAUAAUUAAUUUUUCUAAAAAUCCUAAAAUUCUGUCCACUUAAAUUCCCAUACAUUAACAAUAUCGUAUAUUCAAAGAAGUGAUCAGUGGUGUUAAGAAAAAGAAAUACUUAUCAUGUUUCUUUUAAGGUAAAAAAUACUUAAUGAGCUUUCAUCAUCAAAUAAAGACAUUUGAUAUAAAUAUCAUCCAUUUUGAUGGUCUCAAUCGAUAUCAAUAACACUUUUCUCUCUCUACCGCUUGAAUUUAUUGACCUCUAUCUCCCUUCUCUUAAUUAGGGAUUAAAAAAUAACAAAAAUAAACUUUUGAAUCAAAAUUUAAUUCGAAAAAUGUUGAGGUACUAAAAUUAUAUGAUUUAUGUGAUUUUCAAAUUUUAAGAACCAAAAUACAUCAUUUGCGAAACUUAUGGCAUGAGAUCCAUGUUUGGUGUCUUUUUCAUUUCGGUCCCUCUUCAUUCAAUCCUAUCUUUUCAUAAUAAAUCAAAAUUAAUUGGUCUUUAAUUAGAACUAAAUUAUCAAAAACAAAUUGAGGAACAAAUUAAAAAAAAAACUAUAGUUUUAAGAGCGUGCGAGAAAUAUCACUAGUUUUAACUAUUCCUAAUUUGUGACAAUAUUAUAGGUAAAACUAUACACAAAGUGAAGAGUGGGAGAUUCUCAAUUUUUUGAAAUGCUAAUAUUGUACUAUUUAUCUUGGAAAUCCCUUGAAUUUAUUCACACCAAAUUUAAAAUUCAGAGAAAUUAAAUCUAUGGUUUGUUUAUAAAUAAAUUUUAUUGUUAAUAUUUUUAUUAUUCCAUAGUUACUUUAUGUAAACCUUACAUUUAUUAGAGAAAUCAAAGUAAACAAAUUUAAUGGACAAAUACUAGUUUAUCAAGUACUUAACUUGAAUAAAAGAAGAUACAAAAAUAUAAAUAUUUUUUAUAUAUCUUUAUUGUUUAGAAAUUAAAAAUAAAAUAAAAUAAAUCCAAACUCAUCUAAAAAAAAAGUUAAUUUUGAUGUCAUCAUUCUAAUAAUAGAACUAAUGAAGAUAUUUUAUUAAUAAGAUUUUGUGAAAAUAAGUAUUCAAAUUGAAAAAAAAAAAUUGUUCAUGUUUUUUGCACUGAUGUCUCCAUCCAUUUACAGCCGGAAUGAAGAACGUCACCUAUUUUUAUGGUCUCUUCUUACUUGGAAGAUAAGAUAUAUGAAUAUUCAGAGUUAUUUGAGUCCACUCAUUUUAGUAGAUUUUUAUUUUUUUAUAUUAGUAUUCCAACUUUUCUUUAUUAUAUCAAUUAAAGAGACCAGUUCAAAAGAACAAUAGUGAAUAAGUUUUUUAAAAUAAAGAACAAUAGUGAAUAAUUUUUUUGUAUUUUUUAUGUGUUAUGUCAAAAUAUUUUUUUUAAAUAAAAAAUAUUAUUUUAAUAUAUUUUAAAAUAAAAAUAUUUUUAAAAAUAAUCAUUAUCGAACUUUAAAUAUCAUUAAGAUGAGGCAACCCUCCUUUUGACUCGGCUAGCCUACUGUUCUGUGGGUAUAUUUUAUUGCUGCAUUAUUUUCACUAUAAUUUUCAUUAUAGUGAAAAUUCAGAAUUAUUUUAAUGGAUUCAAAUUCAACAUGGUGAUUUUUUACAGUGGAUUCAAAUUCAACAACAAGGGCUAUUUCCUGCAGCAAGGAGAGUUUCUGAAUUUUCAUUACUCAUACAUCGCGAAAAAUAGUAAAGUUUCUGAGAAUUUUCAAAUCAAACUUGAGUUCAGCUUGUCGUUGCUAACUAUUUUAUUUUCACUAUAAUUAAUUGCUUUAUCACGUUGACGCCAGCAGUCAACAACUAUCUUAUAUUCUCUUGAGUCUUGGCAUCGAAUUCCAUGCCUUUGCAAAAUAUCAAAGGCUCCAGUGCCUCUCUAGCAAUAAUUAAUUUUAUUUUCCCCCAAAUAUUUAUCGAAAUAAUUAAUUUAACCACAAAAAAAAACAAAUAGAUCCAACUACCAUACCAUUCCACAAUUAAAUGUUUUUUGAAUAAAUAACUUUUUUUUUUAGUUUAACGUUGGUGUUCGGGCUAGCUUGCGCGCACCUCGACUAAUCCCACGGGCCCUGAAGUUAACGACCAUGUAAGCCUCCAGUGGCCAUCAUAUGAGCAAUCACAGGGCUCGAACCUAAGACCACAGAGAAAGCAAACCUCUUAAUUCCAAACUCUUACCACUGAACCACCAUCUAGAUAGUUUGAAUAAAUAACUUUUAAAUCAUAAAAAAAGUGAAGAAAGUGAAGAAUAAUCAAAGUGGUGGAUACGAAUGUAAUCAACCACAUUUAGCGAAAUAAUUAAUUUAAUCACAUCCUUUCUAGCUAAUCUAGAUUUUAGUAACUGGUUGGUGCUGCGUUCCAAAUAAAAAUAGAAUAAAAUUUGAUUUUUUUAUUUAAAAUUAUUUUUUUAUUUUUUAAUGUGAUAAUAUUAAAAAUAAUUUUAUAUUAAAAUUAAUUUUAAUAAAAUUUAUUGAAUCCACAAUUAAAGAAGUAAGAUGGAUAGGAAUGUGCAGUUUGAGAUGGAUCCGUGAGACCAUUGCUAUCAAGAGUUUUUUCUACGGGAUAAGAUGAGUCCGUGAGACCCGUAAGCUUUAGAAGAGAUAAUAUGUUUUAAUUUCAAAAAAUAAAUCUCAAUUCAGUGUGUUAGAAUGCAACCACCGACUAAUUAAUGGACAAUGGACCUUAGAUUAAUAUACUAUCAUUUUUUAUUGUAUUUUUUUUUCUAGUCAUAUUUAAUUUUUCAUCAAGUGAUUAAUAUGUAUAAUUCAAUGGAUAUAAUUCUUAACGUUAAAUGCUAUGUAUUUAGAAUUUUGUUGGAUUGAGAAAUGGAAGAUAGAAAGAGAGACAGAGCAGCUCAAAAGAAAAAGAAAAAGAAAAAGAUGGAACAAAAGUGGAACAGUUUUUAUUAACUAAAUAAACUUAUUUUAGGAAGCUAUAAUUAUUAAUAUUAAAUUUAAAAUUCAUAUUGCAAAUCCUGAAACAUAUCAUGUGGUUUAAUAGAAAUUAUUUUUAUAAACAUAUGUGGCUUAACAUCAUUAAUCAAAAGCUUAUAAUUUCUUUCAUUUUAUAUAUAUUAAAAGUAAAUAUUAAAACCUAUUAUAUUAUUAAUUCAGAUGUGAAUUAUAAUUCUAAAAUGUUUUUUAAAAAUUCUCUAUAUACUACAACUAGCUGAAGAAAGUCGUCUUCAUCGGACCAUCCAGUACCCAAAAAAUAAAAAAAAGAAUUGCAUGAAAGUAAUUAACCGGAACUUAUAAUCCUUCUUCAAACGUUGACCCGGAGUCAAAGUCUUAUUUUAAGGGAAAAAAAACAUGAAUAAAAUGUUAAUGUUAUGAGCUCACUUUCCAUGAUGAUGAUGAAUAUAAAGACUUGCAACUGUUUUUUUUUUUUUUUGUUUAUUAUUAUUCAAAUUGCGUGUGGAAAAUUAUGCCUUUUGAAUUUGAUGGAAAUUACAUGUGAAAAAUCACGCCUUUCGAGAUAAUUUAAAUUACGGUAGUUAUUAUUUUUGUUGUUAUAAUUAUAUAAAAAGAAAAGGAUAGCUUAAUUAUUCUUUUUUUAAUCAAAAACAGUUCACUUCAAGCAAUAUUUAUUAGCAUUCUAAUCAUUUAUUAUUGUUGCCAUACCCCUUUAAAUAUUCUAUUUGCUCAUUGUUACUGAAAUGCUCACGUAGGAGUUAACUUUGUUAAUGUGCCAAUGUUAUUAUUAUUUCAAUUUUGAAAAAGAAUAAUGACUUUGUAAUAAGCUUUGAUUUAAAUCAAAAGUUAAUUCUAGUCAAAACUCGUACCAAUUAUAAUUUAAAUUUUGACUUAAAUCAAGAUUUGUUAUAAAAUUGAGUAAAAACUUUACUUUAAUAAAAAAUAAAAUUUUAACUUAUGAUAUAAUUUUUUCUUGAGUAAAAAGUAAAAAAAAAACAACUUAAAUUAAUUUGCAAAACUAAACCAAAUACAAUCAAAAUUUGGACUUAAAUCAAAAGUUUGUUAUUACACAGUUAAUAAUCGAAAGUUAUUUUAAAUCCUCUAGCUUUGAAAAGAAUUAGUGUUUGCCUUUGAGAUUGUAAUUUUUUUUCAGCGUAUAUUCAAUUUAAUAUUUUUAAUAAUACAAAUGAAAAUAAACAGCAAAUUUAAUUUAUAAAUGUAACUAUCUCAAAACAAUGUUGAGAAGGAAGAAAGAUUAGUAGAAUAAAAAUAAAAUUAAUAGACUUUUAAAAAUCAAAGAGUUUUUAAUGUUAAAAAUAUUUUUUUUAUUUAAUAUAUAGACCCAAUUUUGUAUUUCUUUUUAAAAAAGAUAACUCUAUUUUAAUUCUGAUUCUUUAGCAACACAGUUUUUCAUUCACUAUAACACACACAAAUUGUAAUAUUAAUGAGGAGAGGUAUUUGAAUUGGGUGAGGCUGACGAAGGAACUAACGAGGAGAAGGAGCUGCCGCUGCUGUCAUCUUUAACAGAGUUACGGCUGUACUGGUUACCUGAGCUCAAAUAUAUAUGGAAGGGGCCCACUAGAUAUGCUGAACUUGUGGUAUCUUGACAAACUAACAUUUACAAAACGACGUGCAGCUCAGUCAAUGCCUUCAUUGCCUAGCGCCUUCAAAAAAUCAACUGCUUAGUUAGAUUCGUCCUUGGCUUGCUUAGAGCGACAGCCACAUUAAAUGACAGCCACCGAAAUGUUUGACAUGUGGCCUACAAUGUGAAUUAUGUGUUAACAAUUAGCUAAUUUUUUAAUUCUCUUAAAUUUGAUUAAUUUAAUUAGUUACGGUGGCUGUUAGGUAGUAUUUAAUAAGUUAAGUUGCUUGAUGUUUGAUAAUUAAAGGUGACUAUUAAAUGAUAUCUAUAAAAAAAUUUAUUUAAUAAAUAUGAGAAUUUUUAAAUGUUUAAAUCAUUUAAGAUUUUUGUUGAUUUAGUUUAUUCGUUUGCUUUCCCAUAAUUUCUCAGAUACCAAACACUUUGUUAUGUGUUGAAUAAAUAAUUAACCACCAAUUAAAAGCAGAAGGAACAAUAUUUGUGUUUGAAUCCUGAGAAAAUUGAGUAGGAAAAUAAAGGGAAAUUUUUGCAUUUUAUGAAGUUUAUUUUUCUUAGUUAUGAUGAUUUAUUGUUUUGGAGGUCCCUAAAAGUAGAAUAAUGGUCCCCAAAUUUACAAUGUUUUCCUGCAAUCAAACAGUGCCUUUUUUGAAACUGCUCAAUUAUUAAUCGCUUGGUGUCUACUUGUCCAUUCCAUUGACCUCUUACAACCACAUGAUGAGCUUGUUAUUGUGAUUGAUCUUCAAAAGCUCUAUCUUCGAAUCUUCUUCUAAAAUUAUUUUAAAAACAGAUUUAUUUUACGUAACUAUCUUCAUUUCCUUCAACAAAUAUAUUUUUGUCUCUUAUGUAUUUGUUUAUUCUAACUUAAAAUACUAAUUAAACACAGUCUAAUUUUUUUAAUUUGAUUUAUAAUUUUUUUAAAAAAUAUUUGAUUAUCACAACAUAAAAUAAAAGUUUAAAAAAGAAACACUCACAGGCCUACACAACACAUGUUGGCCUAUUCCAAACUAUCAAGUCAAGCAUUGAACCUUUCCAAAUUGCAUUUUUUUUUUUGGUCUAAUUACAGUCCCCAUUUUCAUUUACCGUUGGCCUUACACAAAAACAUCCCUUUCAAGUUACAAAACGACGUGCAGCUCAAUCAAUGCCUUCAUUGCCUACAGCCUUCAAAAAAUCAACUCAUUAGUUAGUUUCGUCCUUGGCUCGCGUAGAACGACAUCCACUUUAAAUGACAGCCACCGUGAUGUUUGACUUGUGGUUUAGAAUAAGAAUUAUGUGUCCUUAAUUUUUUAAUUUUAGUAAUUGAAUUUUUUUUUAAUUAUAGUGGUUGAUUGGUAGUGGUAAUUGGUGUUUCAUAAACAAAGAUAAUAAAUAGCUGGUACUUAUAAAAAAUCGUAUACCAAUUUGAUCCAAAAUCUCUUAUUGAAUUAAAAGACCUUUACUUUUAGUCGGGGGAUAAAGCAAUUAUUUUUUUUGUUUUUUUUGAAGAAGUUUUUUCUUAAAAACAAUAAAGAUAUAUAUCUAUUUACUAUUUAUGUUUGUUGUUUGCGAAGAUGACGUUUCCAUCUUUUUUUUUAUAUCUAUACCGGCUAAAAUCAUGGGUGAGGACUUUUAAAUCCUUAAGAAUUUAUGUAAGGAGAGAAAAUAUAAUGAAAUUUUGAAGAAAUAAAGUUUAAAAAUAUACAUGCUAUAAAAGUUAAAAAUAAAAAGAUUAUAAAUCUUGAACUUUGAGGAUUGAUGUGGUAUUUAUAUCUUACAUGUUUUGUACUUUUGAAGAGAUGAAGGAUUGAAAAGUAAUUUUAUUAUGUAGUAUUUUAAGUUAUAUUUCACUCAAAAUAAUAUAUAUUAAAUUAAUAUAUAAUAUUGAGAAAUCUGUGUGAGAUCUUGAAAUUUUUUUUGAAUGGAAUGUUGGGUUAAAACCCACUAAAAGUAAAACAUAAAUUCACGUAUAUUGUCUAGAUCCAAUCACAUUAGACUUGAGACGCACCCUCGAGCCCAUUAAAAGUAUAUGGUUCAAGGCAGUGCUUGGACUCAGAGCAGUUAGGCUUUUGGGAGUAUAUUUUAGCCAAUUAAAUUUUGGUCAAAAGCAAAUAGAAAGCUAUUGUUCUGUUGAUUGAUUUCUAUUCAUUAGUCUUUUUCUUUCAUUGACUCGGUUUCUCUGGGUGCUGACAAGUUAUUCAUGGUGAAGUGAUAAUCUCUUCUUUUCUUCUACUAAAAUUCUUGAUGUUUAGGCCGGGAAUAAAUUUAGCUCCUCUUGUUUACCUAGAAAAUUGAGGGAAAGCUGUAGCUGAAAUAAUUUAAAACCAUUUAAGAUUUUUGUCAGUUUAGUUUAUUCGUUCACUUUCUGUAGUUUCUCCGAUGCCAAACACUUUGUUAUGUGUUGAAUAAAUAAUUAACCACCAAUUAAAGCAGAAGGAACAAUAUUUGUGUUAGAAAAUUGAGUGGGGAAAUAAAGGGAAAGUUUUGCGUUUUACGAAGUUUUUUUUUCUUAGUUAUGAUGAUUUAUUUUCUUGGAGGUCCCUAAAAGUGGAAUAAGGGUCCCAAAAUUUACAAAGUUUUCCUGCAAUCAAACAGUGCCUUUUUGAAACUGCUCACUUACUUGUUGUCUGCUUGUCCAUUCAAUUGACUCCCUGCAACCACAUGCUGUAUUGGAGGUUUCUCUACCAGUGAAGAUAGCAUCAAAUGAUGAGCUUGUUAUUGUUCAAAAGUUCAAUCUUCAAAUCUUCUUCUAAAAUCUUUAAUUUUACUCUCAUAUUGAAUUUAUGAAAAUGUUAUUAUUCAUAGAGUUCAUAAAGAAAGAUGAUUACCCUUUUUUAAAUAGUUUUAAAAACUGUUAGCCAUGUGUUACUAAAUAACUUCUGUAUUUUGUAUUAUACUUUAUAUAUAAUUGCUAGAAGAUAAAAUAAUCUGUUUUUUAUUUAUGUAUAUCACAAUACUUUUAUCCUAACAUUAUUUUUUAAAAACCAUAACUAAAAGUAUUUUUUUUAAUUUAUUUUUUAAAAUCGUAAUCACAAAAGCUACCUUAGUGUAUGUUUGGUAAUGUGGUGUAGGAUACUUUUACAAAGUAUUUUUAAAUUGAAAAUGUAUUAAAAUAAUUUUUUUUAAUUUAAAAAAAAAGCACUUUAAAAUCAUCAAAAAAUAAUUAAAAAAUUAAAUUAAUAUUUUUUUAAAAUCAAAUACAUUUUAAAAGUAAUUUGAAAUGGACACCCUUAGCAUUCAUUUGUUGCAGGAAAAUGCUACACAGAGAUUUAUUUAUUUUUCACGUUGUUUUGUUGGAUGUAAAGCUGUUUCUAUUUUCUUAGAGCAGCGCCAACCUCCUCUUGCUGAUCUCUCUUCAUGCUAUUGGCUUUUUUGUAAGCAUUUUGUUCUGUGUCGGAAAUUAAAAGUCUGUUUGGUAAGUUUUUAAAUUAUGAUUUUUUUUUUGUUUUAUGUCAUAAUCCAAAAAUUAUUUUUCAUAAAUAACUUACGAAAAAAAAUAAAUAACUUCAAGUUAUAAAGAUGUUUGGUAAAAAUGAUUUAAAUUAACUUUUUUUAAUGAAAAAUGUAACAUGAGUUAUAGCUCAUAGGUUAAAAGUUAAAAAAUAUUAACUUUUUUUAUUCAAAUUUGGAAUAAACUUCUGAUUUAUUUAAGUCAAAAAUUGAAAAAUAACUUAAAUCAAAUUAUAAAAGUAAUACCCAAUAUAACUUAAAUUUAACUUAUAGUAUGCUUCAUAAAAUUGGCAAUUUCCUGUACAGCAUAAGCUUCUUAUUAAUAAACACAAAUGAUCCAACAACUGUGUAUAUGUUAUUAAAUGAAUUGAAACUCCUUUUGAUAUUUAGACAACAAAGAAUUCGGACCUAUACUUGAUUAGGAUUUAGAUUAUGUCAUUGAUACUCAAACAGGUGUAUUCAUAAAUAAAAAAAUUCAUACAAUUUUUUUUAUUUUAAUCCCAAAUUGAUAUAGUAAAAAAAAAUAAUCUCCUGAGUCGAUGAGUUAUCUAAUUGACCCAUCAAGCCAUGUCAUAUUUUAUAAUACUGCUAUUUAUUUAUAUAUAAAAAAUAUUUUUAUUGAUAUUAUCAUCAAUCUUCCUAUGAUAGAAUAGAAAUAUCUAAAACUCUAUACGGUAAUAUAGAAAAUUGAAGGCUUUAUGGCAUUACAUGCCUUGAAUUGGUUUUGUACAUGCAGCAGUAAUGUUUUCGCGUACACCCAUGAAACCAUUGGCCUGCCUGCAACCGAAAAAAAAUUGAAAUGAGAAAGGAAUGCCUUUGGCUUUCUUCAUAAGUAAACCAAACAUGAAGCAAGGAAUGCCUUUUCUAUUCUUUAUAUAUAUAUAUAUAUGUGGGCAAAUCAUAUUCCUUGAGUGGGAUUAGGGACAAUCAUAUAGCUCGAGUUUCAUUCUUGGAAGUGGCAGAGAGUAUUCCUUAUUUAAUUAAUUAUUGUCUUCUUUUCAGGUCCUUUCGUUUUUUUUACCCCAAUCAUCAUAAUUAUAGGAACACUACAUCCAUUAAGGAUUAUAUUUGUGGUUGCAAUCUAUUGAUAGAGAGGCUGUGGGUGUCUAAGUGAUCGUGAACCUUUCAUUCGUUCCGGUCUCUGCUAUAUAAGGUGUGUGUAUUUUAACUAAUUCUUGUAUUAUUAAUUUGUUUUUGUCUUUAUAUUAUAUUGUUAUGCAUAUAUUAUGUGUUCAUACAUGUUUGCAAGUAUGAUCCAUGAAGAAAGAAAGUGAAAUACUUGUUCAAUUUAAUCCUUAUUCUCUCCUACUAGACUCAAUCAAUCUCUAUAUAUACAAGUUUAUAUGGAAGUCUAUAUAUCUCGUUGUAGGGUUGAAUAAUUGUAAAUACAGAUCAAACACCCAUUAUUAAAAAGAUUAUGGUGUUUUAAUUUAUUAGUCAAUUAGAAAACUAAUUAGUUUUAAAAUCUUCUUAAUAAUACAUAUAUAAAAUUAAAUUAAGACUUUAAUCUUGAUAGCUAACAUUUUGAACUUUUACCUUAAAUUUGAUAUGGAUGUAAAAUCUACAAAUUCACAAGACUAAUAAAAUUUCUCUGUGUUUGGUGAAUUAAAGUAGGGUAAUGGUCUAAAUAAUAUUACUCUUGUAAAAGUUGGAUCUCCUUCAAUUUUCAACCUCAUCUUUCUAUUAUAGUGAAAAUAAAAAUGAUGAACAUUCUAACUAACUAUAAUGUUUGGAUUUAAUAGUGCAUGGCUAGCUUUCACCACCAUAAUUUGAUCUUGACACCAUCAUUCGUUUUUUUUUUUUUUUUUUAUUAUAUCACUCAUUUUGUUUUAUAUUGGAAAGCCCAAAAAUCCACGAAGUAAGAGCAGACCUUCCCAUUACUUAAUAAUUGAGGAAAUUAGAUUCAUUUUAAUCAAAUCAUCUUCAAUAGAUAAAGCUAUCAUGUAAUUAUUUGCUAGGCUAAGCAUAUUUGUAUAUUCACAGUCCCUCUUAAACUCUAAAUACUAUAAAUCUACAAGGAUUUGUAUGAUGUUAAGAGAAAUAUAUAUCCCCUUUUAGCCAACACUAGAUACUUUUCUACGCUACCAUAUGAGGUGAAUCAAUUUUUUUAAAGUAAAAAAGAAUAUAUAAGUGUACUUAACAUGUUUUGUAGCAGGAAAAAAUAAUCUAUGGAGGGGUUGAGCAAAGUGAUUUAAUCAACUUUAUAGGUUCAAAAACAACCCAAACGAGUGGUUAGCAUAUAGUUUGACUAAAAAAAUCAAGAUAAUAUAUUUUUUAAAAAUAAUAUUAAGACGACAACAUAUUAGAUUGACUUGGAUUUACUAGAAUCAACUUAGGUUAACCUAUCAAGUUCCUGACCUGAGUUAUAAGACCUUAAUAACCUUACAAAAGAUAACUAAGAAAAAAUAUUAAGCCUAAUUUCUAAGCAACACAAUAUUGCAAAAUAAAAUUGAAAAAAAAUUAAUUAAAAAAAUGACAUAAAAAACCAUCAUAAUCAACCCAAGUUAACCAACCAAACUCGUAACCUAUGUCAUGAGGUUAGGAUAAUCUCAAAGAAAACAAAAUGAAAUAAAUUAUGAAGCCUAAUAAUGAACUCCACAUUGAAAAAAAAUUGAAAAAAAAAAUAUUCAAUUAAAAAAGGAUAAAAAAAAACUAAGACAACUAGGCUAACCUGCGAUAGAAUCAUGAGACUGUGAUAUGCCCAUAGAAAGUAAAUAAAAAAAAUUAUGAAAUUCAAUUCUUAAUUAAUACAAUAUUGAAUGAAUAAAUUAAAUAAAAUCAAUUAAAAAAUAUCUCAGGUCAACUCGGAUUAACCUGUCAAACUCGGGUCUUAAUACCAAAAUAUAUCUAUAAAACAAAAAACAAUUAUAAAGUGAAAGUCUUGAUAGCUAACAUUUUGAACUUUCACCUUAAAUUGAAGUUUUAUAUGUGAAUUUCUCAUUUGUUUAUCUCUUUACUAUCAAGUUCUUAUACAGAUUCUUAAAUCAUGGUUGGUUGAUGUUUAACUAAGAGAAAUGCACAUAUCAAACUACAUUCUUAUUAUGAGAGAUUCACUAAAUUGAGAACUAUUAUGGUCUUAUGCCUCUACCUAGUACUUUUUAUGAAUAUCUACAAAAUCUAUCCAUACUUUUGUUUAAAGCGACACCCCUCCUUAUGUUCUUAUAGAUGAAUGGCUAAGUUUCAUAAAAAAACAUGAACAUAAUCAAAAUGGAUUAUUCCCUAUACUCUUUUUAUUUAUUUAUACAAAAAAUCAAGAUAAGGUUUUUAGUAACCAUACUUUUUUUGGUCUAAAUCAAAUGACCUAUAUCUUUACAAUAAUUUCAUUUAUGGUUAGGGUCAUAGGAUUGUUUGGCUUUAACAGAGUAAUUUUUCCAAUACUUUUGGUUCCUUUUAAGUUGAUAAACUUAACAUCUUUUGUUAAAAACACAUCUUUGGCUUCAAAGCACAUUUUCUAAUUCUUAGAGCCUUUUGUAAAUUUAGCUAGUAUUGUAUUCAACUUGUCAAACUUUUCUUGUAAGGAUUUAUUUUCUUCUUCAAGUUGAUUUACCUUUUUAUUUUCAUCAAUCACAAUGCAAUCUUUAUUUUCUAGAGUUUCUUUUUCUAGCAAACAAGCAUGCAUAAUUCUCUUUCAAUAAACUAUAUUUUAAACCUAAAUUUUUAAAUGUAUCAUAUAAAUAUUCAAGAGCAUCAUGCAACUCAUCAGAGGUAGGGUCAGAUUCAUCAUCCAAAUAUUGUAUCUCAUUUUCACUUUUGAUAGAAAACUUCUUAAUCACCUUGUAAUUAAGGCAAUGUCUUCUUCAAUGCUUUCUUGAUCAUCAUCAUCAUCCUCAAUGUGGUGAACGGCUUCAAAUGCCAAAGAGUGUACAUUUUCAUUCCCUCACUAAUAUCAUGAGUUUUUACUUAACUCUCGUAGGUUCACAAGUAUGGUUUUGUUUACAACAAACUCUUUCAUAGAGUGGAUGAUAUGAAUGAAGUUCUAGUAUCUCCAUAACUCACUAAAUAGUACUUAUAGGAUUUAAAAGUGUUUAAGUAUAGUGAUAAUGAAAAUGUAUACUCUUUGUUCUAGAAUAUAAAGGUUUAAACCCACUACUUAGAGUAUAAUCAAUAAUAUUUUAUUGUUAUUUUGAUCUUAGAGUAUGUUGUUCAUCAUAUUUGUUCAGAAUCCCUUGCUAAUUUUACAAUUAGACAAGCUAUAUAAUUGUUUCUAAGAAAAACUAGUCGUUGGAACCCCACUAAUGACUAAAACGAUCGAUUGGUUCAAAUUGAUCAAACCAAUCAAUCAACCGAUUCCUGCAAAAUUCCCAAGUGUUUAUCACUGAUAAACAAGUGAUCGUCUGAUUCAUACAUAAUUCUCAAAUGUUUUCAUCAUUGAUGAACAAAUGGUGGUUCAUUUCAUGUAGAAUUCUAUAUUUAACAGUUUUAAUCUAGGUGAAUUCUUAGAGCCAUCUAUCUUAGAUCAUCUUUUAUAUCAAUCCUAAAUGUAUAUAGAGUAAUGUGUGUGAGUUUAAUUUAAUUAUACCAUCAAGUAAGAUGUAAAGAUUUAUAAAUUAAACACUAAAAUGAAUGCUUGAACUUUUUGAUUAAUUUUUUAUGAAAUCCUUCAUGUUUAUUAAUGUGAUCUUAAUAUGAAACAUGUUUAAAGCUUAUUCUCAACCAGACAUAUUAUUAGUCUAUGUUUUUUUUUUUGUUAUAAUCAAAAUAUAAAAAAAUAUGAAUGUCUGACUCUAAAGGUCAAUAAAAUCAUCACCAUUUAGAGUAAAAAUAUAUCUAGACUAGGAUUUGCUAUCAUUAAUAUCUAAUUUAAAUCUAGCAUUUGAAUAUCCAUAACUACUGGUUUAUCUCAUUUAUAGAUCAUAAAGAAAUUCUUAUUUCUUUUUAACUACUUCUUAGACUCAAAACCUUUAGGUAGUGUAAUAUACAUAUCUUUAUGAAUUUUCCUAUAUAGAAAAGCAUUUUUUACAUCUAUUUGCUAAAAUUCAUAAUAUUAGCAUGUAGCUAUAGCAAGAAGGUUUUUACAUAACUAUUAGCAAGAAGGUUUCAUCAAAGUCAAUUCUUUGCUUGUAACCAUUUUCAACUAUUCUGGCAUUGUACAUCUAUACGUUGCCAUUAAUAUUAAUUUGUUUCUUAAAGAUCUAUUUACAUUUAGUGAGUUUUACCCUUUAGGUUGAUAGCCAAGUUAUAUUUUUCUUACACAUGAAUUUUACAUCCUUGAUUCAUUUUAUGGAAUCAAUAUUAAAUAUUGCUUUCAUGUAAUUGGUAGGCUUAUUAAGUAUAAGCAACUCAUCAUUUUUAGCUUAUAUAAAAAAUCCAUAUCUCAUUAGUGUGUGACAUCUUCUAUUAGAUCUAUGAAGUUAUUGUGUUUCUUGAGCUUUAAGUUGAGCAUCCAAUGUUAUAUAUUCUAGCUCAUGUUUUAAUUAGAUGUCAGUUUAUGGUUCUUGAAUUUCUUCAAAUUUUAUUUUUCUUUCACUACUCCUUUCAAGAAUAAAUUCUUUUUAAAAAUAUAGCAUGUUUGGAGACAAAUAACUUUUGCUCAAUGGAAUGGUAGAAAUAUUAUCCAAUAGUUUUUUUUCAAGAUAUCCUAUAAACUUAAAUUUAUUUGAUUUAGCUCCUAACUUUCAUAUAUGAUAUGCUUUACAUAAAUAUCACAUCCCCAAAUCUUCAAGUAUAAUAAGUUAAGUCUCCUACCUUUUCAUAUCUUAUCUGAAGUCAUAUUACUAGAUUUUGUUGGAACUUUAUUUUAAAACUAAGCAACAAUUUUUUAGGCUAUAUACCUAAAAAAAAAUAAAAGAUUUGUAUAGCUCAUAAUAGAUCAUCCCAUACCCAAUAGGGUACGAUUUGUCCAAUUUGGAAACUUUAUUAUAUUAUGGUAAAUGUCAUAAUUAUUGAUUCUUUGGAUGAGAUUCGAAACUCAUCUUACACAUGAAUUUUAUAAUUAAUACUAUUUAAAAAUAAAUAAAAUAUUUUUUUUCUAAAUUCACCUAUAAUGAUGAUACAUUUCUUAAUCAUAUAGGUUCUAUUAUACCCAAUAUAUAUCCACUUAUUACUUUUGAUUAAAGCAACAUAUUGUUAGGAUUGAAACAUAACAGUUACAAUAUGAACCAACUAUUUCAACUACUAUCUCCUUCUCACCACCACUAUUAACAUCUUCUCUUUAUCCACCACAAUCACCUCACCACCAUCUCUUCUUUUAUCACCAUUACCACCACUACUGUCAUCAUUUCACUACCACUAUCACUACCACUUCACCACAAUCUCUUUCACCACCAUUGUCAUCUCACCACCAUCACCAUCUCAUCACCACCUCUUUCAUAAUCAUUGUCAUCUCACCACCUUCAUCACCAACAUUAUUAAAAAACAUUUUACAUGUAAAACAUUGAAUGGUAAAGUAUUUUUCAAGCCAAACAUUAAAUUUAAAAUAAACUAUUUUUUAUUUGCAAAACAAACAUACUCUUAACAUAUAAUUUUAUCUCUUCUAGAAAAUUCAAUAAAAAAAUUCAUUUUUUCAUGUUUACCUAAGGUUAGCCUUCACAAUUAUAAUUCCGUUCUCUAUCUCUUUUGGGAUAUUUUCAGUUAGAAAUAAUUUCCAUUCUAUAAUUCUCUUUUAGGAUAUCUCAUUUAGGAUGUUAAUUUUUAUAGUGUUACAUAUUUUUUUAAAAACUUUCUUUGUAUUGAACCGUUAUUGCUUUAAAUUCCCUCAUGUAUACAUAACAUGAUUAAUGAGCUGUACCAAAUUUUUAUUUUGAGCUUCUAAGAACAUUCCAAAAGUGUCAUUUGAAAAUGAAUUUAAUCAAACUUCUAUACAUUUUAUCCUUGUUGAAUAUGUCAUCUUUUUCUUCAUCUUUUAAAUAUUUUUUAUUUUAUUUUGAAAUCAUCCUCACCAUGUUAUUUCAUACAUUUUCUAUUUUUCUUAUAUAAUCUUUUUAAUUUGAAGUUGUCUUUAAUUUUUUUAUUCUCUACUUAGUAACAAUAUAAUCUUCAUCGUCUUCAAUUCUGUAAAAAAAAUUAAAAAUUGUUAUAGAAAUCUGUCUUUCUUAUAUAGCUGGGAAAGUUAAAUUUUAUUCUAAUAAAUGAAUUUUAAUGCAAUUGUAUAUAAGAAAAUACACUCUUAGAAAUGUAUAAAGAUAUCAAAGGAAGAAAAAAUCUUAAAGAACUAAGAAGGGAAAGAUAUUAAUAAUCUAUAUCUUUUUUUUUUUAUUAACGUGGGUGUCCGGGUCAGCUUGUGCGCACCUCGACUAAUCCCAAAGGCCCUCAAGUUAACGACAAUAUAAGCCUCCAAUGACCCUGAGGUUUGUGAGACUCAAACUGGUGACUUUUAGAAAGCAAACCUAAAGUAUGACCAGUUGAGCUACGCUUCUUGUGGUUCUAUAUCUUAAAUUUUAAUGUAUAGAGUUUUUUUAUUAACAAUACAACCAUAUCAAUAUUCUAUAUUUUAUUAACAACACUGUGACAAUUUAAAAUUAAUAACAAAUUAAUUUAAAGAUAUUAUAGUCUUCAACAAAAGAUAACACCCUAACUUUUGUAGAUGGCACAGAUAGAUAUAGAUAAGGGGACAAGGAAUUAAUUGUUCAUUGGUAUACUUAUACCUUGCCUUGUUGCUUUUGAAGCUUGAAAAGGCCUUCUCGUUUUGUUCCUCGCUGAGCAAUCAACACCAGUGCUUUUCGCGCAUAUUUUCACAAAUUAAGGUAAUAAAAUUCCUAUUCUCAUUCUCUCAAUGCCUAUUUUACUUGUAGUGAACUCCUCUCACAGUCGGCAUCCUUAUUUCUCUGAUUUUCAGACUGGUGGAAAAUGGCUAUCGAAAGUGUUGGUGGAUCCAUUUUAUCUAAGAUAGCAGAACUCUUGGUGGAACCAACAAUAAGGCAGUUCCGUUACAUGUUCUGUUUCAACAAUUUUGUUCAAGAAUUCAAUGAACAAAAGAAGAACCUGGCUUUGACUCUUGAUCGUUUGCAAAACGCUGUCGAAGUUGCUGAAAGAAAUGCUGAAGAAAUUGAGAAGGAUGUCAACAAAUGGUUGGAAGAUGCAAAAAACGAAAUUGAAGGUGUUAAUCGUUUGGAAAAUGAAAAGGGAAAAAAUAGCAAAUGCUUUAAUUGGUGUCCAAAUUGGAUACCACAAUUCAAGUUAAGCAAGGCCCUGGCAAAAAAGAUAGAGACUUUGAAAAAACUUGAAGAAAAUAGACCAUAGAUAUAGUUACAUGCAUAACUUAUUAGAUUAAUUAUAUUUGUGUCAUUUAUGUAGGUGUUUAACUAAUCAUCAUGAAUUUCUCCUUCGUUUAUCACUACAACAUUUAACAGUUUUAUUGACGGACCAAAUCUGUCGGUGUAAGAUUGCCACUUCAUCAUUAAAUUUUUUACCGACUAAAUUCCCGACGGAAAGCGUCCAUCGACAUAGCAUUCGUCAGUAAUUCGACAUUCUGUCGGUAAAAAAAAAUACAGAUGGUUUUACAGACGGAAAAUGCGUGCCAAAAAAAAAUUCCCACUAAACAUAUACCGACAUAAAUAUUCCAUCGAUGAUCGCGGCAUAUGCAGUAAAUAUUUUUCAACUCUCUGUAAAAUACCGGCGGAAAAAUUCCGUCUGGAAAUCCGUCGGUGGUGUUUUUUUAAAAUUAAAAAAAAAACUCAUUUAUAAUAAAUAAUAUAAAAUUAUAUAAAUUAAUAGUAAAAAAACCAAUUAUGCAAAUAAAAUUGUAUUAAACAUCAAAAAUAGAAAAAUAAAGUUAAAUAAUACUCAUCCAAAUAUUCAUUACAAAUUUAAUGUGUUUCCAAAAAAAUAAAUUAAACUAGAACAAUGGUGGAGCUGGAGGGUGAGGAGGAGGUGGUGGAGGCUGGUCAUUUCCGGGACCAAACAACAAAUAUGUAUCACCCAUAUGUGAUCUAAUGUUCAUGACCAUUUGGCGGAGUUGUUCAUAAUUCACCGACGGUUGCUUGUAUUUUUCGAUGAGAUGAGUCGUGUGUUGCUGCAAGGCCACGAACUCCUUAGAUUGGGUGCUCGAUAUUGAUUAGGAGCUCCCAACGGUUGAGACAUUACGGGUCGCCUGCAAGUUCUCGGCCAUAGUAUUGGAGAGCCCGUACACCCGAUUUUUAUCGAGUCCACCAGACAAUCCUACCUUCAUCCACAAAUCCAGAUCGAAAUUCGGAUGGGACGAAGAAUCGUCCCCAUAUAUCUCCCUCAACCGGCUAUUAUAGGUCUCUUGAAAAUGAAAAUAGAAAUCAUCAUAUUCAAUUCAAGAAAAAUAAUAACUUACGAAAUAAAAUGGUUGAACGAACAUACCACGAAGUGUUGAACGCGGUUGUCAACGAACUGUUGCACCCCUUUUUGGUGGUUUUCACUCUGUACGUGCGUCUCUACAAACAGCUCCAUUGGACUCGGCUCACGUCCAAGAGACGUAGCCUAUAAGAAGAAAAAUUAAUUAAGUAACAACAAAUUUAUUAACGAUAUAUUUCAUUUAAAUUAAUCUUACCAUCCGUUUCGCAUGUGUAGCAAACGGAACGAAGCUAUCGGUGUGCGUGGUCACCGAACCAUGAAUUUGCCGGUUCCGAUUGUCAGCACCAGACUGUGAGCGUCGUGUGAAUUGUUCAAACAUCACGUGCUCAAUAUAUUGCAGCCAUAUAUCCCCCGGGAUGUAUUGCGGUUUGAAAUCCCUCCAAACCACCACGCAUUCCAACCUUGUAGACCGUUAUUUUCUGGCGUAUUUUUUUGCUUUUUUUUGUUCCCUCCAAACCGCCACGUCAUUCCAACCUUGUAGACCGUUAUUUUCUCGCGUAUUUUUUUGCUUUUUUUGGUGCUUCAUACUAAAAAUCACACAACCUACUUCUAUAGUGACAAAUUAGAUUUUAAAACAUAAUUUUUUUUAAAAAAAUAUUGUAUUGUUUUCGAUGUUACCUAGUUGCCACGUGAUUUUCGUACACCCUCCUCGCAACAUUGUCAUGCGCACUAUCCCACUUGAAUUUGUGUUGUGUAUAAAUAAUUUAUUUAAAAUAAAAAUAAUAAUUUAUUUAUAAUUAUAAUAAUAAUUUAUUAAAGAUAAGCUGGAAAUUAGAAAUUAACACCAAUUUGAAAUCUUCGAAAUCAUGCAUCGAUAUAAGGUCUCCAUUCAGGAUGUCUGGAAACCUGACUCCAUUGAAAUAAUAGAAUCUCCAUCGACGAUUUAAACACCAAUGAUAUUAAUCGGGCGACCUCAAAGUUUCUGACCCUGAAAAUAAAUUAAAAAAAUAAAAAUUUGAUUAGUUGUUCAUAAAUUAUGUUAUAAUUAAAAAAAAACUAAAACCAAAAAAAACUUAGAAAUUGUAGAUUUGAAUGUUAACUAACCAAGGAAACUGGUCUUGCUCAAUUUGGAAAUGUAGAACUCCAGUUAUGGGUUACCAACUGAGACUGAGUCGUGAUUGAUUAUGUAGGGCAGUAGGACUAAUUAGUAAAUGAACAAUUUUGACUAUCUUGGAGGCAAAACUGGGUUCUCCUCCCUCAAAGAACUAGUAGCCUCGUGUCUUAACUUUCUAACGAGAUCAAUCUCCGUUAAAAUGGAGUUUUAGAACUUUAGAUAUAGUUAAAAAUCUGAUGAGUGUUCAGACAGUAACAGUUGGAAAUUGGACAGUAACAGAUCAAAGUCAAACAGUAAUAGUUCAAAGUCAGACAGUAACGGUUGGAAAAGUCAAACAGUAACAGUUCAAAGUCAGACAGUAACCGUUGGAAAUUGGACAGUAACAGUUUAAAGUUAGACAGUAACAGUUGGAAAUUAGACAGUAACAGUUGGAAAUUAGACAGUAACAAUAGACUUUCAUGUGAAUACUAUAAAUAAAAAUAUAAAAGAAUUGAGUCAUACGAACACUUAUAUAUUGAGAUAUUAACUCUGAAAAUAUACAUGAUAUAUGUAUGUAUGUUAUUAUGAGGAAAUGAACAUGCAUAGAAAGUAACAUAUGAGUAAUGGAUGAAUAUGAAUUCUCUAUAAUAUCGGCUUGAAAGAAUCAUAACAAAAAAAAAGAAAACUUCCUUGUGAUUCAGGAGGAGCAACCAGGAUUGGAUCUUCUGUUAGGGGAGGUCGUGAGACAGGCGAAGCAGGUGCGUGAUUUUCCCUCCUAUUUACACUUAUACAAUUUAGAAUCCUUCUGGUGAAUGCAAUUAUAAUAAAUAUCGUGUUCAAUAUAAAUAAAUCCUAGUGUAUUUACAAGAUUAGCUUCGGCUAAUGGCAUCCGUGAUAGGAUUGCCAGGAAAAUUUACAUGAUUAGCUUCGGCUAAUGGCAUCCGUGAUAGGAUUGCCGGGAAAAUGAUUCACACGAUUAGCUUCAGCUAAUGGCAUUCGUGAUAGGAUUGCCGAGAUAUGAUUGAUAUGAUUAGCUUCGGCUAAUGGCAUCCGUGAUAGGACUGCCGGGAAAUGAUUUACACAAUUAGCUUCGGCUAAUGGCAUCCGUGAUAGGAUUGCCGGGAAAUGAAUUACAGGAUUAAACCUUACAAGGUCACCCAGUUUAUGCAAGUAAAUAAGAUUAUUCAAUUAAGAAUAUACAAAUGAGUGUUAAUUGGGUUUAAAAGAUUUACAAGCAAAAUAUAAGUUCUUUGUUAGAAUUCUCAUGGAUUUGAUAAAAAGUUAAUACUUCAUUCGUAUUCAUUACAUGAGCAUACAUAUAUUCUUUAUCGACAUAAUGGUAUGUUUAUUUAGGUAACAGGUCCAUCAAACAUUCAGGAAGAUCAUUAGUUAGGACUCAACUUUGUGAAGCUUAUGUAAAUAUUUAACUUAAAACAAAAGGGAAUUAACGUGUUUAUGUAGUAUACUUUUGUGCAAACCUUGAUGUAUUUAUAAAGGUUUAGCUUAGCAUGUAGUAUUUUUAGUUAUCUAGUAAUUAACCAUCUUGAAAUAUUUAAGAACACUUCUUAUAUUGUAAAUACUUUCUUUGCAUGUUAGUAUUCCUUUUCCUUUAAAUUUUAUGAUAUGAUGUGUUGGACUAUGUUCAUAUUGAACUUACUUAUAGGAUAUAUAUAUAUAUUGUGUGGAUUGUAUGAGGUGUGGAAUUAUGAGGUUUGAUAUAAGGUCCGGAAUUAAGGGACUUUGUGAUGAUGGGUUGAUUGAGUAAACUGAUAGUAGUCGAUAACUUGGGAUGUCCUAACUGCAAACGAAACUCUGCCGAUUUUUGGAAAAAAAAAAAUUACCCUCAAAUAAAGAGGAUAUGUUGGAAUCUUUUAACAUUGAUCGAGUCAUACAGUCGGACUAUUACAGAGGAGGUCAUUGCAGACCCCCCUAUUUGUUUGGAUUUUCCGGCGGCGACAUGUUAACCCACUCGCCGCUAGUGGCGUGGCGCGUGGAGGAGACGCGCCGCCACUGUUCCAGCGCCCAGAAACCUUCCGCCACUGUUCCGGCGGAUCUUAGAGGAUGUUCCCAGCAAUUCCUGGAGUUUUGGGGUUUUAUUGUGUAAUUUUUGAAUUGUAUUUGAUUUAUUAUGAGUUUUGUUUUUUUUACAUGUAAAAGAUGGUGUAUGAGAAAAUCAUAAUAAAAAGAGAUGUGUGUGUGUGUUUGUAUUUUUAUUUAUGUUAUUGAAUUGUAAAAAUAAAAAAGAUUAAAAGAAUUAAGUGUUUAAUUUGAUUAUAGUUAAAUAUCUCAAGGACAAAUAAAAUCAUGUUAUAUUUUCCAUGAAAGUGUAAGAACAUGUUUCUACACAUAUUCGAGGAUUUAAUAACUGAUUUAUUAAAACCUUAGAAUUUAAUGAGUAUUUUAAAUUUUCAAAUCACAUCAAAUCGCAAAGCAACUUACCUCAGGUAGGGUGCGCUAGGGGUGCUAAUACCUUCCCUAGCCACAAUCAGUCCCUUACCCUAGAAUUUCUGACAACGACUAGUAAAUCUGGGUUUCCUAGUAACCUUCAAUGAAAUACUAGGUGGCGACUCCAAAGAACCAAUCAAGCAAACAUAACGAAAAAUCGUCGAAUCGUCGCGCGGGGGACGUGCGACAAUCCUAACACCAUUAGUGAAACCUUUUCUCCUUGACAUAAUAAACUUAGCUAAACAUAAUGAAGAAGAGAAACAUAAAUAAACAAGAGAAGAACAUGAUUAUAUAAGUAUAGUAAAGGAAAUGAAAGGUAUAAACAAGAUAUUAAUGAAAGCAAAACUUAAGCAUUUCAAAAAUAUAAAGAAAGAGAGCAAGAACAUGAUCUUGAUCUUGAUUUGAAAACUAAGAUGCCUAAAUACAUGGCAAAUGCCUCCUUUUACAGGCCAAAAUUUAGAAUUAUUGAUUUGAUAACUAAUUGUUAAGUGGGUGGCCACCUCUUGACUUUGUGACAAUUCUUAUCUUCUUGUCUGCCAAAAACGUUAUUGCUAACAUCAGAAUUUGAAUAAAUAGUCUUCAUGAAAGUUUUGGGAAAUUGUCUUAUUUUUCCAACAAAAUAAAAUUGAGGUCAUUUAGACUUCUAGAACUCGAGAUAUGGGCUGAACACUGAAUAGUGUCUAGGCUGCAGGACAGAUUCAGACUUCUCUUUUGAUGCUAAGAUUUGGACUUCCAAACGGCAGAAUAGAGUCUUGGACUCCGCAUGAAUGUUUUAGGCCUAUGUCUUAGCUUUCUAGCCAUAUAAACCAAACUGAAAUCCAAGAUCUACAGCUCCAGAUAUGACCUAAUGACUGAAUAGUGUUCCAGUUUGAAUUAAAUCACCAUCUCUUUUCUAAGCUUAGCCUUUUCUUUAUCCUUUCACUUUCAAUAGUUAAUCACAUCAAUCAAUCAUUUGAAUUGUGAGAUAUGUCUGCAUUUAAAUGAGCAUUUACCAUAAAUUAAAGCUAUCUUAUAGUAUUAGAUAUGUUAUUAUAAAACAUGCUCUAGUUAAGGAGUUAUUGAUACUUCAAGUGCAAAAUGAUGAUAUAAAACCUUGAUAAAAAUGCAGUUUUAAGUACUAAUCACUCCAUGAGUCGAAUAGAAUGGUCAAAUAAGGAAAGCCGUAAAAAGGUGAGAUUGGAUUUGAGCCUUAGUUUGUAAAAACUUGUGUCUUUUGGUUUUAUUAAUAGCAUGUUAUUUUGUUUUGUUAUUUCUUAUAUUUGUUUAAGUGUGUUUCAGGUUUGUCAUUGUUCUUUAUUUCAAGUGAUGUCUUCUAUAUUUUAUCUUUUUACCUUAGGAUAUUAAGGACAAUGUCUCGUUUUGGUUGAGAAGAGAUGGUAGUAGUUGAUAUUAAAAAAAAAUUAACUAUGUUUUCUAUUUCAUAAACCAUUUGCAAACCUGUUGUUACUAGGAUGACAGAGUAAAGAAGUUCUUUUGUUAAAGUGACUAUUGAGACGCAUCUUAGUAAACAUUCUUAAUAAGGUCUAUCAGAAUACUUCUUGAAAUAUUCAGGUUUACAAACUCUCGCAUUGUUGUCACUUGAUUCUGCUCAUAUACUCGUUUACAAGUAUUUUUAAACCUUGAUUUUUACACACACACUUUAACAUUUGAUUGUAGGUUGCAUAUUUGAUUAUUACAUUAUUUAUGUUCUUUUGUUAAAGGUAACAACUAAGGGAAAGAGAUAGUAUAUAAUUUGCAAAAAACAAAAAACCAAAAAAAAACCAAAAAACUAAAAACUAAAAGAAAUUAAUUAUAUUGAUGAUAAUAAAAACGUAGAUAAGUUUGGUUUCGUAGCCUCCCUAACCUAAGCAAUUAAGCCCGAAGGGGUGUUUUAACACCUAAUACCCUAAAGUCAACUGACUUGGGAGCUAUUAGCCCAAUGCUUGUUACAUGGGUUAAGGAGAAAAGCUUAAGAGAAUCAAACAUUGCACUAUCUAUGUAUCAGUAUCUACAACCCGAGUUACUAAGCUCGUAGGGGUGUCUCAACACCUAAUGCCCUAAGACCAACUGGUCUGGGAGUCAUUAGUUGAAAGCUCGUUACAUAGGUUAAAGAUGCAUUGUAUUUUAAGUUAUCUAUAUAUAUAUAUAUAUAUAUAUAUAUAUAUAUAUAUAUUAAAAAAAAGAGAAAAAAAAAAGAUAAUAAUCCCAACCCAAGGAAGUUAACCUUAGAAAAACAUUAGAACAAAAUUGUGUUUUCAUCCAAGCAAAGCCCCAUAACUAUGUGUUGAUAUAUUGAGCACAAAAGGAAGGUUUAUCAAUAUCUUGUUUAAGAAGUAUGGAGUAGAUAUAUAAAUUUAAUAAGAGUUUGUUUAUUUAGAUAGAUUAAUGGAAGUUGAAUGAUGAAUGCCUUGCUUUGUGGAACUUGCAAAUUGUUUUUCUAUUUUAACACUUUGAUUACUAGGGACUAGUAAUAAGCUAGUUGGGGGGUGUGAUUAGUACUUAAAAGUGCAUUUUUAUCAAGGUUUUAUAUCAUCAUUUUGCACUUGAAGUAUCAAUAACUCCUUAACUAAAACAUGUUUUAUAAUAACAAGUCUAAUAAUAUAAGAUACCUUGAAUUUAUGGUAAAUGUUCAUCUUAAAUGCAGGCCUAUCACAUAAAUAAAAAGAUUGAUUGAUGAGUUUAACUACUGAAAUUGAGAAGACAAAGAGAGAGCUAAGCUUAGAAAAGAGAUACUGAUUCAAUUCAAACUGGAAUACUGUUCAGUCAUUGGGUCAUAUCUAGAGCUGUAGAUCUUGGAUUUCAGUUUGGUUUAUAUGGCUAAAAAGCUAAGACAUAGGCCUAAAACAUUUAAGAAGAGUCCAAAACUCAAUUUUGCCGUUUGAAAGUCCAAAUCUUAGCAUCAAAAGAGAAGUCUGAAUCUGUCCUGUAGCCUACACAUUGUUCAGUGUUCAGCCAUAUCUCGAGUUCUAGAAGUCAAAAUACACCGAUUUAUUUUUUCUUGGAAAGCUAGGACAAUUUUCUAGAACUUUCAUGAAGACUAUCUGUUCAAAUUCUGAUGUUAGCAAUGACGUUUUGUUCAGACAAGAAGAUAAGAAUGUAAAUGUAAUUAGAAUAUUUUGCAAUAAAAUAAAUUAUAAUUAAAUCUUUGAAUAAAUUCAUUAAUCAACGUUAAUGUUACUGAAACAACAUUAAAUUAAUCACUGAACAAGUUGAUUAAUUCAAACAACACGCAUUCAAUCAAUAUAAUGGUCUUGAAGAUAAGUGAUUAAUGAACGUUAAACAAUUCAACAAGUUGAGAUUAGAAACAAGUUGAUUCAAACAGCACGCAUUCAAUCACCAUAUCAUGGUGUGUAUCUUGGACAAGCGGAAAGCACUUGUCCCCGUUUUGUCUUUUAAAAACCCUAAUGCUCCUACUUUCGGUGGAGUUUAGCUUCUUUUUUUUUUACUUAACCUUUCUUAUUAAUAUCACAUGCAAAGUUUUUAAAACAACAUUAUUGUACACAUAAGGUGAAAAUGACAGGGAAUUGACCUCUCCUCACUAUUAUUUUCCUGCUUUCGUAAAGUUUUUUAUAGCUCUAUAUUCUAUCUCGUGCUGAGAGUGUUUCCAAAAGCACUGAAACGUGUGGUGCUAAACGACAAGGCAGAAUAAGGUUAAAGGGAUCUAUUUUAAAAUUUUACUCUUAAGGUGUACAGUGGAAAUCGACUCUCCCUUGUUAAUUUCUAAAUUAACCAUCUGAAGAGGUUUUUUUCUUCUUGUAUAUUAUUGUUUUAAUAAAAACAAUAUAAAAGAAGAAAAGGAUAAAAGUAAAACCAGAGAAAGAUUAAGAAUACCAAGAGAGUGUGGGAUUGGUAAUGCAAUAUAAGAUUUUUUUAAAAAAAAAUUAUUUUUUUGUUAAAAAUAUAUUUAAAUAAUUUUUUUAAUAUUUUACAUCAUAUAUUAGAAUGAUAAAAAAAAAAACACCAUGUAAACUAUUAUCAUUAUAUUUGUUUAUCAUUAUCUUUAUAUUGUAUUAUGCAUGCUAUCUUAAUUAUGUCAUCAAAUUGCAUUUUUUUUAUGGGAAUUGCUGCUCUAACUCGGAAGUUAGAAUCCAUGUAAACUAUUUUGUUUUAAUACUUCUCCUCUUUUCAACAUAAAGUCGUUCUUUUAUAAAUAUAUUCAUUAGAUUGAUGAUAUGCUAUCUUUUCUUUUUAUUGGUUUUGAGAAAGAAAAAAAAAAGUAUUUCUAUCCUUUUAUGGAAAAGCACAGAGAUCUAAGAACUAUUGUGUAAAUAACUGUUAGGGUAAGUGUGAAUUUUAACACAUGGCAUGGAUAGCUAUUGAUGAGGGGAGAAAGGGAUUACAAGUCUGGUUUGGAUAUAAAUUAUACAAAAUCUGACCAUAGUUUCCAUUGCCAUCUCUGUUGAAUAUUCUUGGCACAAACAGCUCAUUUCAAACCAGUUGUCCCUGUUUUGUAUUUUAAAAACUCUAAUUAAAUAUUAAAUUAACACACAAAAAAAAAAAAAACUAAAUGAGAAGGGUUUUUUUUAUUAUACCCUUCCUCACAAACACAACCUUCAACUCUACUAUAGUUGAUGUGAUGGGUCAAUUAUUUCUAACUACGGCAUAACAUUAUACUUCAUGUUUUAAUAUUAUAUUAGUAAUAACAACUCCUUUUAAUUUAUUAGUUCAGAUAUAUAUUUACUUUGUUUUAUAAAAUAUAAAUAGUAUAUUUUCAUGUCUCAAUUAAAAAAAACAUUAAUUAUUGGACUUCAUAAUUUAUUUUGGUGUGUUUUUCAUAAAGUUAUUGUGGUCUUAAACAAACAUCUCGAUAUUUGUUUGAGCGUUAAUUUUUUAAUCAUAUCAUUAAAUAAAAAUAUUUUUUAAAACAAUUACUAAAUUUAGUGAAGUCUAUAACUCGAAUCACGAAUUUAACGGGUUAAAAUUAUUGUUGGAAAAGCUAAUAUUAAAAUUAUUAUUUUAGUAUUAUCAUCAAAUAAUUUUUUUAUAUUUUAAAAAAUUUAUUUAACUCGGCGGAGUAUAGUUAAAUGGAAUGGUAUAAUUUAGAUCUUGAGACACUAACGUCAGCUGAACUACUUCUAGUUUGGAUCUUGAGACACUAACGUUAGCUAAACUUAUUUCCAGUUUGAGAGUAUGGUUGUGGUUGCUUUUUAAAGUGUUUUUCAUGUUGAAAUGCAUCAAAAUGAUAUUUUUUUUAUUUUUAAAAAAUUAGUUUUAAGAUCGGUGCAUCAAAACGAUCCAAAACAUAAAAAAUAUAUUAAUUUUUAACCAAAAAACAAUUUAAAUUUUUUAAAAACACGAAUUGAUCCACGUUUCCAAACUCUCUGGAUUGAUAUGCUUUAAAUGAGCAAUUAAAAUAUCAAAGGAUUUCCGGGACACUCCCAAGACGUUUAAUGGUAUAUUUAAUGUUUGUCCCUAUUGAGAUUACGACAAGACCAAAUAGAAAAGUACUAGUUACAUGCCCCGCGCGAUGUUGCGGGUCAAUUAUUUUUUGCAUUUCAAAAAAAGUUAAGAUCUAAAAGUGUUAGAUUUUUUUGCAAAGUUAUACCCAAGAGUCUUAGGUUUGGUUGCAACGCCUGAUCCAAGAGUAAUAUUUAUAAAAGUGUUAGGUUUUUUUGCAAAGUUAUACCUAAGAGUCUUAGGUUUGGUUGCAACGUCUGACCCAAGAGUAAUAUUUAUAAUUUUAAUAAUAACAUUAAACUUGCAUGACCCAAAUUUAAGUGGGUUUGACUGCAAUACCAGACCCAAUAGCAUUGGACGUGGGUCUGGCUGCAAAGUCGUGUCAUAAAAGUGUGAUAAUUAAAUAGAUUAGUUAAAAAGAAAAAAAACAACAGGAAGAAAAAAACUAAUGAAGAAAAAGAAAAAAUAUAUGAAUUAAUUGGGUUAACCCUUCAAACCAGGUUAACCCGUCAUACCUUGAAUUCGCAUCGUGAAAGUUUGAUAAUUAAAAAGGAAAAAAAAAUUAAUGGGUUAACCAAGAAUUAACUCGGCUAACUCGUCAAACCAGGUUAACCCGUCAAACUCAGAAUCCGUGUCAUGAAAGUUUGAUAACUAAAUAGAAAAAAAAAAUUAACAUUAACAAUUUAAAUUAAACAAAAAAAUUAAUUAAAAAAAAAAGCAUUAGCCUUUUCACUGUGGACUGCAUUGUCCAGUCCACAGUCAAAGGCAUAAAAACAACAAAAAAAGAAAAAGAAAAACUAAAGGCAUCAGCCGAUAACUACUUAGAAAAAAAUUUAAUAUUAAUAAACUAAAUUAAUUAAAUAAAAUUAAUUAAAAAUAAAAAAGAAAAGAAAAAAACUCUAAAAACAAAAAAAAAACUAAAUAGAAAGAAAUUUAACAUUAACAACUAAACUAAACGAAAAAAAUAAUUAAAAAGAAAAAAAAAAGCAAAAAAAAAUAUUCCAGGUUAACUCGUCAAACCAGGUUAACCCGUUAAACCCAGGAUUUGUGUCAUGAAUGUCUGGUAACUAAAUAAAAAAAAAAAGUGAACAUUAACAAACUGAACUAAACGAAAAAAAUUAAUUAAAAAGAAAAAAAUAAAAAAGAAAUGUUGGUUAACUCGUCAAACCAUGUUACCCCUUAAACCCAGGAUCUGUGUCAUGAAAGUCUGAUAACUAAAUAAAAAAAAUUAUGAAAAUAAAAAAACAAAAAACAAUUGACGGGUCAACCCAGAAUUAACUGGGUUCGCCCGUGAAACCAGGUUAACCCGUGAAACUCGGGAUAUGUGUCAUGAAAGUGCAAAAAAAAAAAUUCUAGGUUAACUUAUCAAAUCAGGUUAACCCGUUAAAUUCAGAAAACGUGUCAUGAAAGUCUGAUAACUAAAUAAAAAAAAUUUAACAUUAAUAAACUAAAUUAAACAAAAAAUUUUGUUAGAAGAAAAAAAACAAAGAAAGAAGCUAAAAAAUAAUCCCAAAAGGCAUAAAAAAACAGCUAAAAAAACAAUUUAAAAAAAAAACCUAAAGCAUCAGUGUUUUAGUGUGGACUGCAUUGUGCUGUCCACGGUAAAACACUGAUUCGUUUUAGUAUAUGUUACAAUUUAUAAAAUAUUUUAGUUUUUAAGUUUGAUUUUAUUCCUUUUUAUUUUCGGUUGGGAUCAUAUUAAACCAAUCAAAUUUUGUUUUUCAAAUUUUUCAUAUUAAAAUUAUCUAAUAAACUCAAAAUAAAUCAAACUAUCAAAAGAUGAGCUUACUUUCUCUUUUUUUCUUGUCUCGCACUUGUCUCUGUUUUCUCUUUUAAAAACCUUUGUUAUUUAAUAUCACAUGCAAGGUUUUUAAAACGAACAUUAUUGUACACAUAAGGUGAAAAUGACAGGGAAUUGACCUCUCCUCACUAUUAUUUUCCUGCUUUCGUAAAGUUUUUUAUAGCUCUAUAUUCUAUCUCGUGCUGAGAGUGUUUCCAAAAGCACUGAAACGUGUGGUGCUAAACGACAAGGCAGAAUAAGGUUAAAGGGAUCUAUUUUAAAAUUUUACUCUUAAGGUGUACAGUGGAAAUCGACUCUCCCUUGUUAAUUUCUAAAUUAACCAUCUGAAGAGGUUUUUUUCUUCUUGUAUAUUAUUGUUUUAAUAAAAACAAUAUAAAAGAAGAAAAGGAUAAAAGUAAAACCAGAGAAAGAUUAAGAAUACCAAGAGAGUGUGGGAUUGGUAAUGCAAUAUAAGAUUUUUUAAAAAAAAAAUUAUUUUUUUGUUAAAAAUAUAUUUAAAUAAUUUUGCAAACUAACUUCAUCAAGUUUUAAAAAGAAAAGGCAAAGAAAAACCAGCGAAUUGACCAUAUCAAAUAAAGUCGCGUACGAGAGAACCUUUAUUAUUAAUAUCACAUGCAAAGUUUUUAAAACAACAUUAUUGUACUCUUAAGGUGAAAAUGACAGGGAAUUGACCUCUCCUCACUAUUAUUUUCCUGCUUUCGUAAAGUUUUUUUUAGCUCUAUAUUCUAUCUCGUGCUGGGAGUGUUUCCAAAAGCACUGAAAUGUGUGGUGCUAAAAGACAAGGCAGAAUAAGGUUAAAGGGACCUAUUUAAAAAUUUUACUCUUAAGGUGUACAGUGGAAAUCGACUCUCCCUUGUUAAUUUCUAAAAUUAACCAUCUGAAGAGGUUUUUUUCUUCUUGUAUAUUAUUGUUUUAAUAAAAAUAAUACAAAAGAAGAAACGGAUAAAAGUAAAACCAGAGAAAGAUUAAGAAUACCAAGAGAGUGUGGGAUUGGUAAUGUAAUAUAAGAUGUUUUUUAAAAUUAUUUUUUUGUUUAAGAAUAUAUUUAAAUAGUUUUUUUAAUAUUUUACAUCAUAUAUUAGAAUCAUAAAAAAAAAUCACUAUGUAAACUAUUAUCAUUAUAUUUGUUUAUCAUUAUUUUUAUAUUAUAUUAUGCGCGUGCUAUCUUAAUUAUGUCAUCAAAUUGCAUUUUUUUUUAUGAGAAUUGCUGCUCUGACUCGUAAGUUAGAAUCCAUGUAAACUAUUUUGUUUUAACACUUCUCCUCUUUUCAACAUAAAGUCCUUUUUAUAAAUAUAUUCAUUAGAUUUGCCAUCUCUGUUGAAUAUUCUUGGCACAAACAGCUCAUAGCUAAGGGAAGCUCGGAUUUCAAACCAGUUUCCAUCCCAUUUUAUAGACCGAAUUCUUACAAUAUCUUCUUCAUCGAUCGAUAAACCGAUUCUGGAGGACCACAAUAUGAUGGUGUAUCUUAGAGCACCACAUCAAAAGAUAAGAAAUUCCUCGAAGAUCACCAUAAUAUCAUGGUGUGUAUCUUAGACAAGCGAAAAGCACUUGUCCCCGUUUUGCCUUUUAAACCUUCAAAGAUUUGUGUCCAGGGGGGCAUCAAGUUUUAAAAAGAAAAGGCAAAGAAAAACUGGCCCGACCACCAUUUCAAAAGAUAAGCUUACUUUCUUUCUUUUUCCCAUCUCUCACUUGUCCUUGUUUUGUAUUUUAAAAACUCUAAUUAAAUAUUAAAUUAACCAAAAAAAACUAAAUGAGAAGGGUUUUUUUAAUUAUACCCUUCCUCACAAAACACAACCUUCAACUCUAGUACUAUAGUUGAUGUGGUGGGUCAAUUAUUUCUAACCAAGGCAUAACAUUAUCAAAAUAAAUUAAUAAACCGUGAGGUGGUGAGGUGAUUUUAUGAUGGCACCAUUCACUAUGAAUCCUCUUACAUUUUAUUAUGAACGGUAGUAGUGAUUUUUUUCUUUUAAUGCUCAAACAUUUUUUUUCUUCUUAAUUUUAUUAUUUUGUGGUCAAAUUGAUGGCCAAUUGUUUUUGAUUUGUUAUGAAAGGGUAAGAUUAAAAGAUAGGGGACCAAAGAGAAAAGAACAAAAAAAAUAGGUGGCAGUUUCAAAAUUAACAUAAAAAGUUCACUUUGUUUGAAUUAACAUAAAAUAGGUGGCAGCUAUAUCUGCUGACUAGUUAUUCAUGGUGAAGUGAUAAUCUCUUCUUUUGUUCUACUGAAAUUCUUGAUGUUUAGGCUGGGAAUAAAUUUAGCUCCUCUUGUUUACCUAGAAAACUGAGGGAAAGUAGCUGAAAUAAUUUGAAACCAUUUAAGAUUUUUGUCAGUUUAGUUUAUUCGUUCACUUUCCUGUAGUUUCUGAGAUAGUACCAAACACAUUGUUAUGUGUUGAAUAAAUAAUUAACCACCGAUUAAAGCAGAAGGAACAUUUGUGUUUGAAUCCUGAGAAAAUUGAGUCGGAAAAUAAAGGGAAAUUUUUGCAUUUUAUGAAGUUUUUUUUCUUAGUUAUGAUGAUUUAUUUUUUUGGAGGCCCCUAAAAGUGGAAUAAUGGUCCCAAAAUUUACAAUGUUUUCCUGCAAUCAAACAGUGCUUUGGAAGAUAAUUGUUAGAAGAUAAAAUAAUUUGUUUUUUUAUUAAUGUAAAUCUGCUUUUCUCUAUAUCACAAUACUUUUAACGAAGUUUUUUGUUUUUUUGUUUAAGCCUUUUUUUUUUUAAUAUUUCAAUCUCUAAUAUUCUUUUGUACUUUCUUUCUAUGGGAUUUAUCUUUCUUUUUUAAAUAAUAAGGAUUGCCUCAAAGUUUUUUUUUUCUGUCUUUGUUAAAUUUUGCUUCUUUAAAAGGGAUUUUUUUUAAUUAAAUUAAUUUUUUUGAUUUCAUUCUCUUGCAUUUAAUUUGAGGCAAUACCUGAAAGAAUUUUGUUUCUCUAAUUAAUUUUUUUAAAAAAAUUAUAUUCUUUGUUUUUUUAUUUUUUUCUAUAGAGUUAUCCUGAUAUUAUAUCUUGGGUCAUAGAUUCAAUAGGUUUACCAAGGUUGAUUUAAGUUUUUUUUUUAAUUUCUUUUUAAUAUUUUUUUAUCUCAAGUCAAUGACUAAAAUCUUAAAUUUCAAAAAAUUGCAUUGUCAAUAGUGUUUUUUUUUACUUGGUUUUUUUUAAUCUAUAUUUUUUUUUUUAAUUUCAAACUUCAACAUUUAGUUUAUUGAAGACUGGGCUUCAUAAUUUAUUAUUGCUUGCUUUAUAUAUUGUUAGCUCAAUCUCUUUACACUAUAAACUAAAAGAGGUGAUAGAUUUACUAUUCACCACCUCACAAGACACAAUUCAUUUCAAUAGUUUUUUUUUAAAAAAAUCUAUAUUUCUUUAUUCCUUGAUUUCAUACUUCAACAUUUAGUUUAUUAUAGACUAGGCUUAAUAAUUUAUCAUGGUUUGUCUUAGUCUCAUAACUCGUAUUACGGGUUUAAUUGGUUAACUCAGUUUUUUUGUCUUUUUUAAUUGCUAUUUUUUCAAUUUCACCAUUCAACAUUGGAUUGAUUAUGAAUUAGACUUCAUUAUUUAUUUUGGUUUACUUUUUAUGAGGUUAUCUUGGUUUUAUGACUUAGGUUACGUGUUUUGUGAGUUAAGCCGUGUAGACUUGGGUCGUUUUAUUGUAUAAUGUUUUUAGAUUGAUUUUUUUUUAUUUCAACCUUUAACAAUAAAUUUAUUGAAAAUUGAGUUUCAUAAUUUAUUUUGAUUAACUUUCUACAGAAUUAUCAUAAUUUCAUGACCUUGGUCGCGGGUUUGGCAGGUUAACUUAGGUUGACUCAAGCUAUUUUUUGUUUACUUUUUAUGAGGUUAUCUGAGUUUCAUUACCCAGAUCAUAGGUUUGACGAAUUAACCUGAGUUGAAUAUGAUCCUUUUUUUUAAUUUUAUCCUUCAACAUUGAGUUUGCUUAUCCCGGGUCACGAGUUAACUCAGCUUUGUUUUGUCCAUUUUUUAGUUGGUUUUUUUUUUUCUCAAUUUCAUCCUUCAAUAUUUGGUUGGUUUGAAAUUAGACUUCAUAUUUUAUCUUAUUUUAUUUCUUUCUAUGAGAUUAUUCUAGUCUCAUUACUUGGGUCACGGGUUUGCUAAGUUAACUUGGGUUGUCGCAGGUCUUUUUUUUUUUAUCUUUUUUUAAUUAAUAUUUUUUUUCAAUUUCAUCCUUCAAUAUUUGAUUAAUUAGGGAUUAAGUUUCAUAAUUUGUUUUGAUUGCUUUUUAUGGGGUUAUAUUAGUCAUAUAACCCGGGUUGCAGUUUUGACAAGUGAACCCUAGGUGACUCGAGUUCUUUGUUUUUUUUUCUCUUUUUUAAUUGUUUUUUUUUUCAAUUUCAUCUUUCAAUAUUGGUUUAAUUGGGAAUUGGGUUUCAUAUUUGGUUUUUUUUUCAAUUUUGUUUUUAUUAGAAAGCACACUUAACAAAUAAUAAUUUAGUCUUGAUAAAACUAAUGAAUCAUUCCAUAGUUUCAAUAACAAUAUGUUUAAUUCUUAUAUUUUUAGUUAUAUAUAGUUUAGUACUAUCAAUUUCAAGUUCUUUCCCAUGUAUUUUUUCUUCUUCCUUCUUGAAAAAUAGAAAAGGAAAAGAGAAGCAGGCAGUUGGGGAAAUUUCAUUAGGAAGGAAGGUAUUUUAUAUAUAUAGUAAAUUGAGGGUGGUUAACACUAGUUAAUGGGAUGUUUCAUUAUUUAUGAUACUACAAGGACUAGAUAAUUAAUUUUAAUAAAUUACAGCGCUAAUUAGUUAUAAUUAAAUCUUCAUUGACAAAUAGGAUUUUAUUAUUUGUUUUUUGAAGGAGAAUAUGUACAUGCAACAAUCUUUACUGUUCCUUCAUUUAGGAAUAUAGAAUUCAAAUAUGGUUUUAAGAGUAUAUAUUUAUAGGGUACAAAUCUGUUUGUAUAAGCAAUAUUUUCAUAAAUUUAUCAAUUCUGCAGCUGGAAAAAAGAAAUAGACUCAAUAUUCCACCUGAGAAAACCGAUAAAAUGAAAGAAAAGAGAAUUCUUUCUUUAUCCAUUAGACCACAAAAAUUUACAUAUAACACAAUUUUAGUUAGAGCACUACAACUCAACUGUUAUAUUAUCUUAAUUAACAAAAAAUUCCAUCAUAUAAUAAGCUAUAGACUUAGCUGGGUUUUAAAAAACUCCUCUUUUACGUUUCUAUGUUUUCAUGAACAUUGAAAAAGGAGCCAUGGUUGACUUUCUAUCUGUUUCUUUCUUUUCUUGGAGGAGAAAGAGAGGAUUGCGCUACUUGUUUCUUUUCAUUUUCUUGAAAACCAAAUAGAAAGUUCUUGGUUGAUUUCUAGCCAAUAGUCUUUUUUCUCUUAUUAACUCGGUUUCUUUGGGUGCUGAUCGACUAGUUAUUUUUGUGAAGUAAUAAUCUAUUCUUUUAUUCUACUUAAAUUCUUGAUGUUUUUGGCAGGGAAUAAAUUUAGCUACUCUUAUUUACCAAGAAAAUUGAGGGAAAGUAAAAAAAAUAAUUUAAAACCAUUUAAGAUUUUUGUCAGAUUAGUUUAGUCUUUCCUGAAGUUUUUAAGGUCAAGGGAGUAGCCAAUCAAAAAGGAAGGAUUGCAAUGAAAAAUUCGGUACAGCUCUUUCAUUUCGCACUUGAGAGACAAUCUAUUGGUUGUAAUGAGGAGAUAUGGUUGAACAAGUGGCUACGAUCUAUUGGCUCAUCGGACUACCUUAUCUCCAAGUCACAGAUCCUUUCUCUUAAUUGGUUUUUUUUUUAAUUUGAAACUGUAAUUUGUUUCAAAGCUACAAAUACCUGGAUUUUUUUCUUCCUUUUCUUUCUUAUUUUCUUUCUUUCUUUUCUUUCCAUGGAGAAAGAGGAUUGUGCUACUUUUAUUUUCUUCAUUUUCAAAGCUACAAAUCAUGUUUGAGAGAAAGAAACAAGGUUUGUAAUAAAAUUACGUAGACUUACAUUUAUUAUAUACUAAGGAAAAAAAAUAUAUUUUUGUCUAAUUUGCUUUUUCCUGUUGAACAAGGAGGCAGAUCAUAAUUUCCCAAACUAUAGAUUGAAAAAAAAAAAAAAAAACAGACGAAAAGUAUAGGAGAUUUUUUUUUAUUAUACCUAAAAGUUAUUAAGGAAAGAAUAAAAAUUCAACAAUAGUGUACCAAAGUAUAAAAUAAAAAGAAAUCCAAUAAUCAAUCUUAAAUUUGUUAAAAAAUGUUAUGUUUAGUUCACGUAUUUUUUUUUAUUCUACAGUUCCUUUAGUUUUUACAAUUUUAAUUUUAGUUCAAAAUUUUAUUUUUUUAACAUUUUAAAUCCUUGAGUUUAAAAAAUAAGAGAGAAAGUCGUUUGAAAACAAUGAAAAAAAAGGUGAAGUUUGUGAAUAAGAACUUUUUCAAAAUAAAACUCAUCGUUUUUUGUAUCAACGAGUUUUAUUAUACGAGAGAAGCUUGAUAGUGGUAGUUUAUUUCUAUAAACAAGCCUGAAAAAUAUAUUGAGUUUCAUUUAGAUUUUUUUAUUUGGUUUUUUUUUUAUUUUUUGAAUGAUUUUGGGAUUUUAUUUUUAAUAUAUAAAAUCCCAUUAUUUCCUUGCUUUCGUCAGGACCGCUGAAAUAAGGUAAAGUUUUUUUUAGCAAGAACAUGAUUUUAUGGCCUCAAUCAGAGAGGUAAUGUGUGGUGCUAAAAGACAAGGCAGAAUAAGGUGUAUAGUGGAAAUAGACUCUCCCUAGUCCCUAGUUAAUUUCUAUAUUUCCAUCAAACCUAUUUUAGGGUUUGAACUUGAACCAUCUGAAGAGGUUUUUUUUUCUUGUAUAUUAUUGCUUUAAUAAAGAUAACAAAAAAGAAAAGAAAAGGAUAAAAGUAAAACCAGAGAAAGAUUAAGAAUGCCAAAUGAGUGUGGGAUUGAUAUUGUAAUAUAAGAUGUUUUUUUAAAAAUAUUAAUUUAAAAUAAAUAAAUAAAUAAAUAAAAUUUAAUUUUUUAAAAAAAUACUUGUAAAAUAUCUAAGUAAUCAUUCAAAUUAUUUUAUUUUCUUAAAAGAAAAAAAAAGUCGCGUACGAGAGAACCUUUGUUAUUAAUAUCACGUGCAAACUUCUUAAAACAUUAUUGAAAUCAUUAUAUAUUGACCAUUAUAUUAUUGUCCUCGUGAAAAUGACAUCUUCUCACCAUUAUUAGAAGAACAGGAGAGUGUUUUGAAAAGCGGGGACAGAGUGAGAAACAAGAACAUGAUUUUAAGGCACGUGGUCAGUUAUUGAUAUAUUAAAAUCAUAAAAAAAAUAUUAAUUUAAUAUAUUUUCAAACAAAACUCAUUCAAAUUCAAUUAAAAAAACAUUAGAAAAAAAAAAUGUAAGGAGGAGAUAAGGUUGAACAAGUGACGAUAAUCUAUUGAAUUCUCGGAUUACCUUAUUUUCAUGUCACAGGUCCUUUCUCUUAAUUGUUUUCUAAAUUUGAAACUGUAAUUUGUAAUUGUAAUAUGCGAGGGUAAUCACAGCAACUCAAGAGAAAAACAACACCCUAUUAAAUCAAAUUAAAAAAAAAAAACAAUUUGAAACAUCGAAGGGUGAAAUAGAAAAAAUAAAAGGACUGAAAUGAAAUAAAACCUUGGUGGAUGCUAUCAAUAGCCUUGUUCUUUUAGCUUUCUGUAUGAUGUAAUGGGCAGGUCUUAUUACUUGAGUGUGUGAUGCAAGAGAUAGUCAUUGCAGAUUUUAGUUGCCUAAGUUUGAUCCUUUGUGGAGUUCCUUGUAAGUCUCUUUUUUUUUCUCUCCUUAUUCAUAAUUUUCGAGAAAAAAAAACAUUUACCGAUCAUAGCUUUAGAUUAAUGUGUUAUUGGAAGCAAAGAGGAGCUAGUAUCAUGCGUGCAGGUGUCAAAGUGAUCUUCAUCAGCCUUCCAUUCCUUUCUCUCUUUGCUAGGUGAGUACUUGUACAUAUUAUUCUUUUAUUUGUUUGUCAUUAUCUUUAUAUUAUGCUUUUUAUCUUAAUUAUGUCAUAAAUUUGCAUUUUUGUGGGAAUUGCUGCUUUAAACUCUUAAGUGUAAACUAUUUUGUUUCAAUGUAUUCUUUAGAUCGGUGGUAUGCUAUCUUUCACUAAUGAAAUUCUGUUUAUUGGUUUUGAGAAGGAAAAAAAAAAGUAUUUCUAUCUUUGUUUUAUGGAAAAAGCACAUAGAUCUAUGAAAUAGAUAUAUAUUAAAAAAAAGGAUAGAUUAGAUAUUCCCAUUACUCAUGGCAUAGAUAGAGAUAGUCAUUACAGAUUUUAGUUGCCUAAGAUUGAUCCUUUGUUGAGUUCGUUCCUUGCAAGUCUUUUUUUCUCCUCAUGCAGACUAUCUUAAUUAUGUCAUCAAAUUGCAUUUUUUUUAUGGGAAUUGCUGCUCUAACUCGCAAGUUAGAAUCCAUGUAUACUAUUUUGUUUUAAUACUUCUCCUCUUUUCAACAUAAAGUCCUUCUUUUAUAAAUAUAUUCAUUAGAUUGAUGAUAUGCUAUCUUUUCUUUUUAUUUGUUUUGAGAAAGAAAAAAAAAAGUAUUUCUAUCUUUUUUAUGGAAAAGCACAGAGAUCUAAGAACUAUUGUGUAAAUAAUUGUUAGGGUAAGUGUGAAUUUUAACACGUGGCAUGGAUAGCUAUUGAUGAGGGGACAAAGGGAUUACAAUGAUCUAUGAACUAUUGUGUAAAUAAUUGUUAUGUUAGGACAAGGAAUUAAAUGUUUAUCGUUCUGCUUAUACCUUGCCUUGUUGCUCUUGAAGCUGGCUUCCAUACAGAGCUAAAGGCCUUCUCCUUUUGUUCCUCUCGCUAUAUUUUAUUAUUGAGCAGUCAGUACCAGUGCUUUCCGCAUAUAUUUUCACAAAUUAAGGUAAUAAAAUUACUAUUCUUAUUCUCUCAAUGCCUAUUUUACUUGUAAUGACUCACUCUCACGUUCUGUAUCCUUAUUUCUUUGUUUUUCAGACCGGUGGAAAAUGGCUAUCGAAAGUGUUGGUGGAUCCGUUGUAUCCAAGAUAGCAGAGCUCUUGGUGGAACCAGCAAUAAGGCAGUUCCGUUACAUGUUCUGUUUCAACAAUUUUGUUCAAGAAUUCAAUGAACACAAGAAGAACCUGGCUUUGACACUAGAUCGUCUACAAAAUGAUGUCCGAGAUGCUGAAAGGAAUGCUGAAGAAAUUUACAAAUAUGUCAGUAAAUGGCUGGAAGAUGCAAACAACGAAAUUGAAGGUGUGAAUCCUUUGGAAAAUGAAAUAGAAAAAAAUGGCAAAUGCUUCACUUGGUGUCCAAAUUGGACGCGACAAUUCAAGUUAAGCAAGGCACUGGCAAAGAAAACGGAGACUUUGAGAAAACUUGAAGAAAAUGGCAGAAAGUUUCCAAAAGUGUCCUACAAACCACCUCUUCAAGGCAUAGAAUUUCUUCCAUCAGAGGAAGUCACGCCUUCAGAAUCGUCAAAAGCAGCUUUCGAACAGAUUAUGAAAGCUCUCAAAGAUGACAAUGUCAAUAUGAUCGGACUGUACGGCAUGGGAGGGGUGGGUAAAACCACUCUAGUGAAAGAAGUAGGAAGGAGAGCCAAAGAGUCGCAGCUGUUUGAUGAAGUUGUGAUGGCUACACUGUCCCAGAAUCCAAAGGUCACAGGCAUCCAGGAUCAAAUGGCAGAUAGUUUAGGUCUGAAAUUUGACGAGAACAGUGAAGGAGGGAGAGCAGGUCGGUUAUGGCAGAGACUGCAGGGAAAGAAGAUGCUUAUAGUCCUGGAUGAUGUUUGGAAAGAUAUUGACUUCCAAGAGAUAGGGAUCCCAUUUGGUGAUGAUCACAGGGGUUGUAAAAUUCUUCUAACAACACGUCUUCAAGACAUAUGUUCUUAUAUGGAGUGCCAGCCACAAGUGUUCUUAAAUAUCUUAACAGAAAAUGAAGCAUGGGCUUUAUUCAAAAUCCAUGCAGGUUUACGUGAUGAGGACUCUGACUUGAACAGAGUGGCAAAGGACGUUGCGAGAGAAUGCCAAGGCUUGCCUAUAGCACUUGUGGCAGUGGGAAAGGCUCUAAAAGAUAAAUCUGAACAUGAGUGGGAAGUAGCAUCUGAAGAGCUCAAAAAAUCUCAAUCUCGGCACGUGGAAAAUUUUGAUGACCGAAGAAAUGCAUAUGCAUGUCUUAAAUUGAGCUAUGAUUAUUUGAAGCACGAGAAAACCAAGUUAUGUUUCUUGCUAUGCUGUUUAUUUCCAGAAGAUUACAACAUUCCAAUCGAGGAGUUGACGAGAUGUGCAGUUGGCUACGGGUAUCAAGAUGUGAAGUCCAUUGAAGGUGCAAGGAAACGAGUUUAUAUGGAAAUCGAAAACCUCAAAGCUUGUUGUAUGCUGUUAGGAACUGAAACUGAAGAAUAUGUGAAAAUGCAUGACUUGGUUCGUGAUGUUGCUAUUCAGAUAGCAUCAUCAGAAAAAUACGGAUUCAUGGUAGAGGCUGGCUUUGGGUUGAAGGAGUGGCCAAUGAGGAAUAAAAGCUUUGAAGGUUGUAAAGUAAUCUCGUUAAUGGGCAAUAAACUAACAGAUCUUCCUGAAGGAUUGGUGUGUCCACAGCUCAAAGUUCUAUUAUUAGAACUGGAUCGUGGUUUGAAUGUUCCAGAGAGGUUUUUUGAAGGGAUGAAAGCAAUAGAAGUUUUGUCUCUAAAAGGAGGGUGUUUGUCAUUGCAAUCACUUCAAUUCUCAACGAACCUUCAGUCGUUGCUGUUGAGAUGGUGUGAAUGCAAGGACCUCAUUUGGUUGAGAAAGCUGCAAAGACUUGAGAUUCUUGGUUUCAUUUGGUGCGGCUCCGUUGAAGAAUUACCUAAUGAAAUUGGGGAGCUCAAGGAGUUAAGGUUGUUGGAUGUGACAGGUUGUGGAUUGCUAAGAAGGAUUCCUGUGAAUUUGAUUGGAAGGUUGAAGAAGUUAGAAGAGCUGUUGAUCGGGGCUACGAGCUUCAACAGAUGGGAUGUUGUUGGAUGUGACAGCGCAGAAGGAAUGAAUGCAAGCCUAACAGAACUAAGUUCGCUGUCUCAUUUAGCUGUAUUAUCAUUGAAGAUACCGAAGGUUGAAUGCAUUCCCAGAGAUUUUGUUUUUCCCAGGUUGCUCAAAUAUGAUAUAGUGUUAGGGGAUGGGUAUUCGGAAGGAGUAUACCCAACAAAAUUAUAUUUGGGUAAUAUCAGCACCGCAUCCUUAAAUGCAAAGACAUUUGAGCAAUUGUUUCCUACUGUGUCUCUAAUUGAUUUUAGAAACAUUGAGGGUUUAGAAAAUAUAGUAGAGUCGCAAAAGGACUUCUUUCAAAGAUUAGAACAUGUAGAAGUGACAGGAUGUGGGGAUAUUCGCACUCUGUUUCCAGCAAAAUGGCGGCAAGCUUUGAAAAAACUAAGGAGCGUGGAAAUUAAAAGAUGCGAUUCAUUGGAAGAAGUAUUUGAAUUGGAUGAGGAGAAAGAGCUGCUGUCAUCUUUAACAACGUUACGGUUGUCAGAUUUACCUGAGCUCAAAUGUAUAUGGAAGGGGCCCACCAGACAUGUCAGCCUCCACAGUCUUGUUCAUCUGAAGUUGUUGUGUCUUGACAAACUGACAUUUAUAUUCACACCGUCCCUUGCUCAAAGUCUUAUUCAUAUGGAAACACUUGAGAUAGGAUUUUGCCGUGGAUUGAAGCGUCUUAUCAGAGAGAAGGAUGACGAAGGGGAAAUAAUUCCAGAGUCUCUUGGCUUCCCAAAAUUAAAAAAACUCUAUAUAUUUGUUUGUGAUAAACUGGAAUAUGUUUUCCCUGUCUCCGUGUCUCCAAGUCUUCAGAACCUGGAAGAGAUGAAGAUUGUUUUUGCUGACAAUUUAAAGCAAGUAUUUUACAGUGGAGAAGGAGAUGACAUCAUCGUCAAGUCUAAAAUUAAAGAUGGCAUCAUCGACUUCCCUCAGCUAAGAAAAUUGUCUCUUUCAAAGUGCAGCUUUUUUGGUCCAAAGGAUUUUGCUGCCCAAUUGCCUUCUUUGCAAGAGUUAACCAUUUAUGGCCACGAAGAAGGGGGUAAUUUGUUGGCACAGCUUCGAGUACGUCCAUUCUAUUUCUCCAUUUUUUUUUCUUUUUCUAAUUGAAAUUGUCAACUUCAAUACAUUGUGAUAAUUUGUUCUAUCUUCCUCCAAAUUUCUAAAACUAAAGUAAUUGAUAAGUUCUUUAACCAUCCACUGAAUUUAAUUGAUGAUUUAAAUUGGCUUAGGAAGUUCUUUAAUUUUUUUGAGUUAAAGUAUAAUUUUUCGUGAUUGCUUUUAAUUUAACUAAUAUAAAGUAAUAGUUUGUAUUCAGAUUAUCAUAAAUAUGAAAAAAUAUGAUUUUAUAUUCCCAUGACCCGGUGCCUUGUCUAUCUAUAUUUUCUUAAAAAAUAUGAAAAUUUUUUUUACUAAUCUGUAAAAUUCAAAAUAUUUUCUUUUAUAUUUUUAUUUUUGGACAAUGUCAUAAUUUUUUUUUAUUAUAAAUCGAAUAUAAUUUUUUUUUUUUUAGUUAAUAAGUAUAAUUUUUUCAUGAUUGCUUUUAAUUUAACUAAUAUAAAAUAAUAGUUUAUAUUUAGAUUAUCAUAAAUAUGAAAAAAAAAAUAUCAUUUUAUAUUCCCAUGACCUGUUGCCCUGUCUAUUUAUAUCUUCUUGUUGAUAAUUGGUUGAUCUAUUUAACAAAAUUAUAUAAUAGUUCCAAAGUGCACAAAAAUUACUAGGAAUUAUAUCUAACAAAUUGGUACCUUUUGAUGCAGGGGUUUACAAGUUUGGAAACAUUAACUUUGUCCUACGUGCUUGUGCCUGACUUGAGGUGUAUAUGGAAGGACCUCAUGCCGAGCCAUUUGACUUCUUUGACGGUGUAUAGCUGUAAGAGACUGACACGUGUAUUCACACAUAGCAUGAUUGCUAGUCUUGUUCAACUGCAAGUUCUAGAGAUAUCAAAUUGUGAGGAAUUGGAGCAAAUCAUUGCUAAGGAUAAUGAUGAUGAAAAUGAUCAGAUAUUGUCAGGAAGUGAUCUCCAAUCUUCAUGCUUCCCUAAUCUGUGGCGACUUGAGAUCAGAGGAUGCAACAAGUUGAAGAGUCUCUUCCCAGUAGCCAUGGCUUCAGGUCUCAAAAAGCUCCGAAUACUUAGAGUAAGAAAAUCCUCUCAAUUAUUGGGAGUAUUUGGACAGGAUGAUCAUGCUUCACCUGCCAAUAUUGAGAAGGAGAUGGUGCUCCCUGAUCUGCAGGAGUUGUUGCUUGUACAAUUACCAAGUAUUUCCUCCUUUAGUCUCGGAUGUUCUAAUUUCUUGUUCCCUCAUUUGAAGAAGUUGGAGGUGGAUGGAUGCCCGAAGCUGACCACAAAAUCUGCUACUACAUCAAAUGACUCAAUGAGUGCUCAAUCAAAGGUACUCCUGAUUUGACUUGAUUUCUUGCCUCUCGUUUAGUUUUAAAAGUGCACAAUAAUUACUAGGAAUUACAUCUAACAAAUCGGUACCCUUGUUUUCUUUUGAUGCAGGCGUUUAUGAAUUUGAAAGAAAUAUCUAUUGGAAACUUGGAAGGAGUACAAGAUUUAAUGCAAGUUGGACGUUUGGUAACUAAUAGAAGAGGUGGGCAUGAACUUUCACUCGUGAGUUUGGAAACAUUAUGCUUGAACUUAUUGCCAGACUUGAGGUGUAUAUGGAAGGGUCUCGUUCCGAGCAAUUUGACUACUUUGAAGGUGAAAGAGUGCAAGAGACUGACACAUGUAUUCACAGACAGCAUGAUUGCUAGUCUAAUUCAACUUCAAGUUCUAGAGAUAUCAAAUUGUGAGGAAUUGGAGCAAAUCAUUGCUAAGGAUAAUGAUGAUGAAAAUGAUCAGAUAUUGUCAGGAAGUGAUCUCCAAUCUUCAUGCUUCCCUAAUCUGUGGCGACUUGAGAUCAGAGGAUGCAACAAGUUGAAGAGUCUCUUCCCAGUAGCCAUGGCUUCAGGUCUCAAAAAGCUCCGAAUACUUAGAGUAAGAAAAUCCUCUCAAUUAUUGGGAGUAUUUGGACAGGAUGAUCAUGCUUCACCUGCCAAUAUUGAGAAGGAGAUGGUGCUCCCUGAUCUGCAGGAGUUGUUGCUUGUACAAUUACCAAGUAUUUCCUCCUUUAGUCUCGGAUGUUCUAAUUUCUUGUUCCCUCAUUUGAAGAAGUUGGAGGUGGAUGGAUGCCCGAAGCUGACCACAAAAUCUGCUACUACAUCAAAUGACUCAAUGAGUGCUCAAUCAAAGGUACUCCUGAUUUGACUUGAUUUCUUGCCUCUCGUUUAGUUUUAAAAGUGCACAAUAAUUACUAGGAAUUACAUCUAACAAAUCGGUACCCUUGUUUUCUUUUGAUGCAGGCGUUUAUGAAUUUGAAAGAAAUAUCUAUUGGAAACUUGGAAGGAGUACAAGAUUUAAUGCAAGUUGGACGUUUGGUAACUAAUAGAAGAGGUGGGCAUGAACUUUCACUCGUGAGUUUGGAAACAUUAUGCUUGAACUUAUUGCCAGACUUGAGGUGUAUAUGGAAGGGUCUCGUUCCGAGCAAUUUGACUACUUUGAAGGUGAAAGACUGCAAGAGACUGACACAUGUAUUCACAGACAGCAUGAUUGCUAGUCUAAUUCAACUUCAAGUUCUAGAGAUAUCAAAUUGUGAGGAUUGGNNNNNNNNNNNNNNNNNNNNNNNNNNNNNNNNNNNNNNNNNNNNNNNNNNNNNNNNNNNNNNNNNNNNNNNNNNNNNNNNNNNNNNNNNNNNNNNNNNNNNNNNNNNNNNNNNNNNNNNNNNNNNNNNNNNNNNNNNNNNNNNNNNNNNNNNNNNNNNNNNNNNNNNNNNNNNNNNNNNNNNNNNNNNNNNNNNNNNNNNNNNNNNNNNNNNNNNNNNNNNNNNNNNNNNNNNNNNNNNNNNNNNNNNNNNNNNNNNNNNNNNNNNNNNNNNNNNNNNNNNNNNNNNNNNNNNNNNNNNNNNNNNNNNNNNNNNNNNNNNNNNNNNNNNNNNNNNNNNNNNNNNNNNNNNNNNNNNNNNNNNNNNNNNNNNNNNNNNNNNNNNNNNNNNNNNNNNNNNNNNNNNNNNNNNNNNNNNNNNNNNNNNNNNNNNNNNNNNNNNNNNNNNNNNNNNNNNNNNNNNNNNNNNNNNNNNNNNNNNNNNNNNNNNNNNNNNNNNNNNNNNNNNNNNNNNNNNNNNNNNNNNNNNNNNNNNNNNNNNNNNNNNNNNNNNNNNNNNNNNNNNNNNNNNNNNNNNNNNNNNNNNNNNNNNNNNNNNNNNNNNNNNNNNNNNNNNNNNNNNNNNNNNNNNNNNNNNNNNNNNNNNNNNNNNNNNNNNNNNNNNNNNNNNNNNNNNNNNNNNNNNNNNNNNNNNNNNNNNNNNNNNNNNNNNNNNNNNNNNNNNNNNNNNNNNNNNNNNNNNNNNNNNNNNNNNNNNNNNNNNNNNNNNNNNNNNNNNNNNNNNNNNNNNNNNNNNNNNNNNNNNNNNNNNNNNNNNNNNNNNNNNNNNNNNNNNNNNNNNNNNNNNNNNNNNNNNNNNNNNNNNNNNNNNNNNNNNNNNNNNNNNNNNNNNNNNNNNNNNNNNNNNNNNNNNNNNNNNNNNNNNNNNNNNNNNNNNNNNNNNNNNNNNNNNNNNNNNNNNNNNNNNNNNNNNNNNNNNNNNNNNNNNNNNNNNNNNNNNNNNNNNNNNNNNNNNNNNNNNNNNNNNNNNNNNNNNNNNNNNNNNNNNNNNNNNNNNNNNNNNNNNNNNNNNNNNNNNNNNNNNNNNNNNNNNNNNNNNNNNNNNNNNNNNNGUGUCGUUGGGCAUUAUCAGAUUCAUGAGUGGCUCAAUCAGAGGUGCUGUAUAUUUGACAUGAUUUCUUGCCUCUCUUUCAGUGUUUUUAUUUCUUGUUUCCCUCACUAAUAAGACUUACAAGUUAGAAUGUGUAUGCCAUGCUUGAAUUGGUUUUGCAGGUAUCUCAAGUAGCUGAGGGUUCCAGCACUGGUUGCUCCGUGCCAACCAGCACUGCUAGAAGUUGGACCCGAAGAAAUGGGUGGAAAGAGGAAAAAGAGGAAGAGGAUGGAGUCAGAUGAUUAGUUUGGCAUUGGAAUUUGAAAAACAUGGUAGUAAUUCAUUCUUGCAGGUAAAAUGGCUGCAACUAUUUAUCUUCUAUCCUUGUUUAAAUGGUUGGAUUAAAUCAACAAAUACGAGAUGCCUGGAUGAUCUUUGUUCUUGAUGUUUGCAUUAGGUUGGUUGGUUACCUAUGUGAUGAUCAACUCGACAUUGGUGGGAAGUAAUUCCAGCUGUUUCAUUAGCUACAACAAUUUGUCUUAUUUCAUGUGUUUGUUGUGUGAACUUCCAGAAAUAAGGGUAAUGUUAUGUGUUUAGUAAUUUAUUGUACGAACCUUCAAAAACGAAAGGCAUAAUGUUUACUCAUUUGUGUGCUUAUUGUUUAAUGUGUGGAUUCUUAUUCUCCUCAUUUUGAUGUUCUAUUUCUAUUACGGAUUCUUUAUGUGGUAAGAUUAUAUAAAAUAAUAAAUCAAAAAGCAUCAAUGAAAAAUAAAUCACCUCAUGGUGAUUAACCUCCUAAGGGACAAAGUUAGCACAAUGGUGAACUACAUGGAAGAUUAUUCAAGGGCUUCAUCCUUGUGGUGAACUACAUGAUAAAUCGGCUAUAAAUUACAAAAUCAAAAUAACCUCAGCCAACAUUGAUUACUCCAAAUUAAUUUUAAAAUUCGAUUUAUUUGACUUAAUAAAAAAUAUUAAUCUGAAUUGCUUCCUAUAAAAAAUAUGUGAGCAGAGUAUUUCAUGAAACCUAAUAAAAAUAAGAUUCUUCUUCAAUUUUUUAUUUAUCAUCAUUUGUAAAUCUUGAUAGAAAAAAUGAGGAAUGUAUUUCUCAUGCCUCCAAACCUCAUCACUCCUAUAUUUGUUUAUUAUAUUCUAAAAUACUAAAUAAGCACAACCUAAUUUUUAAAUCUGAAUUUCUUAAAAGCAUUUAAUUAUCACAACAUAGGAAUAAAAGUUUUUAAAAAAACACUGAACAGGCCUACCCAACACAUAAGCAAAUUUGUGCUCCAAAUGACAAAAUAAAAGCGCAUUCCAAACUAUCAAGUCAAGUACUGAACCUUUUUAAAAUUGCUUUUUUUUUCAAAUAUUUCUUUUUGUCUAAUUAUAUUUAUUUUUUAUUUUUUUAUUAACAUGAGUGUCCAGACCAGCUUGCAUGCAUUUCGACUAAUCCCAUAAAUUUUAAAAUUAACGAUCAUGUAAGUCUCUAGUGAUUCUAAAAUUUUUAAAAUUUAAAUUAAUAAUUUUUAAAAAAUAAAUUCAAAAUCUGAUAAUUUUAUCCCAUUAUUACAUUCAAUGAUUGGUUGAUUGGAUUAUUAAAUUCAUUGAUCGGAUGAUUGGAUGUUCGAAUUUCAUUUACUUUUGGCAUUACACAAAAACAUCCCUUUCAAGUUACAAAACGACGUGCAGCUCAAUCAAUGCCUUCAUUGCCUACAGCCUUCAAAAAAUCAACUCCUUGGUUAGUUUCGUCCUUGGCUCGCUUGGAGCGACAGCCACAUUAAAUGAUAGCCACCGAAAUGUUUGACAUGUGGCACUUGAGUUUAAGAAACCAUUAAUGCCUGGUCUUGUUUUAGAUUGACACGUGUACGCCAGGGCCGUUGCCAUAGUUAAUUGUCCAAGGUUGAGUUAAGAUUUCCUCGCCGUAAUUGCUUGAUGUUGACGUGGCUCAUUAAAUGAAGACAUUGUCGUCAGCAUUGGACCGCCUCUUUUAUGCGAGUCAGCUUGGUUAUAGCAAAAAAAUAUAAAUAUGCUUAGUUAAGAUAAUUUUAUAAUGAAUUUUUAUUAUUUAAAAACAAGAAAGGUAACGGAGCAUGUUCUCUCUGUUUUAAUUAACAAAUGUUAUCUAAAAAAUUAAGAUGUGAAUUUAUUAAUAUUCUCGUACCUUUUAAGAACUAUAUGAAUUUAUAUUUAUUUUCUUAAAUUAAAGUUUAUGAAAAAAAAUUGAGUUAUGGAUAUCUAAAUUAUUAUGGUAUACCUUCCCUGCAGACUGUAAGGAAACUCCAAUUCAUCAACAAUAUUAUUCGACUACAGCCAAAAAACAAGAACACUCAGUCUUCUAAACUAAAAAAUAAAAGAUUUAUGUUUCGUGACUACUGAAAAAUAUGUAUUUAAUCGAAAUGAUUACCAGAAGCAUAAAUUCUGUACAAAAACUGAAUUGCCACUGCUGUUGGGUAUCAAUAUAUACUAUAUAGAAAAAAAUAGAUAUGUAAAAAAGAAGAAAAAUACUCUACUUAUUAAAAGUGAUAAAUUAUUUUUGUCUUUUUGAAAAAAAAACAUUUUCUUCCUAAUUUAUUGAUAAAAUUAUAAUGAGGUUGUUUUUUAUAAUGUUUUUUUAUAUAAUUAUAUCAAAAUAAUACAUAUUUUUUAUUUUUUAAAAUUUAUUUUUGGUAUCAUUAUAUUAAAAAAAUAAAAAAUAAAAUAAUAAUUUUCACCUACUAACUAGACGGUGUUUUUUUUUUUAUUAAUAUUGCUAAUCAGGUCAGCUUGCUAGUACUUUAAUUAAUCUCACGAAUUCUAAAGUUAAUAACUAUAUAAGCCUCUAAUGAUCCUGAUGUUUAUAAAACUUGAAUUAAUAACUUUUAAAAAACUAACUUAAAAUCUGAAUAGUUGAAUUAUACCCAUCAAGAUUCCAGUCUCUAAGUUAAACUAAGAAGCUAGCUUGGCCAACACUUGAAAAUGUUAAAUAAAUAAGGAUAAAAUAGACUUUUCAGUAUAUUAUAUCAGUAAUUUACUGGCUGGUCGUGGUGACUCACAAGGUCUUUGGUGAUGAGAGAGAUGAAUAAAGAAGAAGCAGAGGUCUCAUUGGGGACCCAGUGGGGGAAUUAAGUUUCACUCUCAUGAUAUGCGCGUGCGUCGAACGCACAAUUCUUUGUCUUAUUUUAAAAGAUCUAUACGCGUGAAACACACGAGUAGGUAGAUGGUUGAAGAUUAUUACGAAAGUAGACACAUCUCUGUCAUAAAAGAUUGUAGUCAUAGUACAAAUAUUUCGGGAAUUUCAUCAUUGCCGGCAUUAAUGAUCUCAUUUACUCAUAAGUUCCAGACUUGAUGAGAGUUCUGACCGGUCAAUGAUUAUUCGUCGUGUUAAUCUUUUAAAUUGAUAUCGGAAUAAUUUUUUUAAUUUUAUAUUUAUGGAAAAAGAGUAAAAAAAUUUUAAAUUGAAUUUUUUUAUAGUUUUAUAAAAAAAUAAACUGAAAUAUAACUUAUUAAUAUUUUUAAAAAUUUAUUAAAAAAAACCAUAACUGAAAAAUAAAAAAAAUAAAAAAUGAUAAAAUUUAAAAAAUAUUAUAAUUUUAUAAAUUAUUUAAAAUAAAAUAAAUAACUAUUAAAGGAAUAAAAAUCAAAUAUAGUAGAUAAAAAAUUUAAUUAAAAAAAUAAUAAGAUAAAAAUAAAUAACAAUAAAAAAAUAAGAAUCCAAGUUGAUAUAAAAAUUAAACCAAAUCAAAAUUUAAAGGAUAAAAUUUAAAAAUAAAAAAAAUUUAAAAGAUUAAAUAUUAGAUUUAAUAUAAUCUACAAAUAACAUGAUUUCUUUUUAAUUUCUUAAAAUUUUUAAAAGUAUAAUAUGUAAAAAUUAAAAGAAAAAUACUAUUCUAAAAACAAAUCAAAUUUUUUGUGUGAAAAGUAUUUUUUAUCAAUUUUUUAAUAAUAAAUAAGCAUGAAAAAAUUUAAAAUAUAUAUUGUUUUUAAUUACUAACCUAUCCCAGAUAGGUUUUAAAAAAAUCACAUGAAAGUUAACUCUACGAAACAAAAUCUGUUUGAUUUUAAUUAUUUUAAUUAACCUAAGUUAAUUUAUCAGAUCCAUGUACUGAAUUCACUCAAUCGAGUUUAAUAACAUUUAUUGAAAUUUGUUUCUUCUAAGUUAGGGAAUCAAUCAACCUAAGCACACAAUUCUGCAAGGAGAGAGGCCCAUUUCCUCAAGAGUAAUGAAAGUUGGAAAUAUAAUAAAGGCUCAAAGUGAAAAAGUCCCACUUGAACUGAACCUAGUCGUAUGCUUUGGAUUCCUUGAAAACCCAUAUGAUUUAGGUGUCAAGAUAAAUGAAAAUUUCUUGCUUUUUUUUCUUCUCUCUCUCUCUUAUGAAUAUGGAUUCCUCGAAACCCCAUAUUUAUGUUAUUAUUGGAAAUUCGAACUCUACGAAAAAAAAACUAUAAGAUAUGAUCGGUUUGGACGAGGAUGACUUGAUUUGAAAAAGAAUUAAUUAUGAUAAGUGAAAGAUGUCUUAAGAGUACUCUAAUCCAUACUUUUUUUUUAUUGGGGCCCCUUGUGUUUUUUUAUUUAUAAUUGAUUGAGAGUCCCUCUACUCUUUAUUUUGUUUUGUAAUAGUCCUUCCAUCAUAAAUAAAGACCCAUAUUUUUUGCUCAAGGAGUGACUUGUCUAUGAAUUUUAAAAUUAUAGCAUAGUUAUUAAACAUGAUUUAAUGCGUUGAACUUUUAAAUUAAAAUUUAUUCAUAGUCAUUAAUUUAAACAUGAUUUAAAAUUAUAGCAUAGUCACUGCCUAGAAGAUGCAUAUUUAACAAUUAUCAACUGAUAGAGGAAGCCUAUAUCCAAACCAAUCGCACAUCCUUUCGUCCUCCAAUUUCCUUCUAUUUUUUUUUAUGUACACAAUUAACAUAUCCUCAAUUACCCUUUUGAUUUUUAUAUUUUUUGUUGUGAACAAAAUUAAACAGUCAGAAGAAAAUCCAGACCCCUUUUUUUUAAUGAAUUAAUUAUGUGAAUAAAAUUUAUAAAAGAGGUUGAGGAGGGCAUGAACAGCACUAGCUAGAAGUCAAUGUAUCAAUGUUGAUACUCCUCAAAAAGUCAAUGCUGGUGGAGUUGGCAGCAAAAAUAAAUAAUAAUAAUAAUAAUAAUAACAACAAAAUAAUUGAGGAGCUACAAGCUAGAGAGCCAAACGAAAUUGCCAAAGACGAGUAGCUAGUAUGCGGUGUCGUGAUGAUCGUUUAUUCUGGUAUGUAUUUGAAAAAUAGGUAAGAUAAAAAAAUUUUAUUUUUUAUCAGUGAAAAGAAAGAAUGAUAAUUGUCACUUAAUAUUUUGAUUACUAGAAAUCUUAACUGGUCUUAGAGAUCGGGCAUGGAAACUGGUUGCAUAAAGACAAUGUAUUAGCACCCCAAAUACGUCAUACUAAGGUAAGAUGCAUUAUUUAAUUGUCUGAUAUAAACUAAGAUAUUGUCGUGUUUUCUAAUGAUUGGUCCGUUUAAGGUUUAAAAAAAGUCAUUCUCGGUAAGACGAUUCUUAUCUUAUCGAGUAAAAUCUAACCAUUCUAAUAUCAACAAAAAGAAAAACUAACUCUUAUUUAAUAUUAGAAAUACGUCUUACGUAUAAGUUUGUAAUCUCAAAUAUUAAAAGAAAACACAAUAAUUUUUUUGUAUUUUUGAAAUAUUGGCUUAAUUCUCAUGACUUUAAUAAACUGGCUAUUAAAACUCAAAAUGCAUGCUAAUACAUAUUUUUUGAAUUUUUAAAAUUCUCAGUUUUCUCCAAAAUGUUGCAAAAAAAUAUAUAUAUAUCUUGUUUUCAUGCAUACGACUAAAAAAGAUAAGAAAUUUCAUAUUGUAUUUUCAUACUAAAAAAAAUAUCAAAUUUGUAUUUUUACAAUAUAAAAAUACAAACUAAUAUUAAUCAAAAUUGGUAGAAAAAUAUACGAGAAAACCACAAAUUAUUUUAGAAAAGAUUUUGAAAUUUUUCAGAAUUGCAUAAAGGUAAUGUAUUAGCACCCCAAAUACGUCAUAUCUAAGGUCAGAUGCAUUCUUUAAUUGUCUGAUAUAAUUAACUAAGGGAUUGUCGUGUUUUACAAUGGUUGGUCUGUCUAAGGUUUAAAAAAAGUCAUUCUCAGUAAGGCGAUUCUUAUCUUAUCGGAUAAAAUCUAACUGUUCUAAUAUCGACAAAAAGAAAAACUAACUUUUAUUUAAUAUUAGAAAUACAUCUUACGUAUAAGUUUGUAACCUCAUAUAUUAAAAGAAAAAAAAAUAUUUUUUUCGUAUUUUUAAAAUAUUGACCUAGUUCUCAUGGUUUUAAUAAACUGGCUAUUAAAGCUCAAAAUGCAUGCUAAUACAUAUUUUUUGAAUUUUUUGAAAUUCUCAGUUGUCUCCAAAAUGUUGCAAAAAAAUAUAUAUGGAAAAAAUAUAUAUAUCUUGUUUUCAUGCAUACGACUAAAAAAUAUAAGAAAUUUCAUAUCGUAUUUUCAUACUAAAACAAAUACCAAAUUUGUAUUUUUACAAUAUAAAAAUACAAGUUAAUAUUAAUCAAAAUUGGUAGAAAAAUAUACGAGAAAACCACAAAUUAUUUUGAAAUUUUUCAGAAUUGCAUAAAGGCAAUGUAUUAGCACCUCAAAUACGUCAUAUCUAAGAUAAGAUGCAUUGUUUAAUUGUCUGAUAUAAACUAAGGCAUUGUCGUGUUUUUUAAUGGUUGGUCCGUCUAAGGUUUUAAAAAAAUCAUUCUGGGUAAGACGAUUCUUAUCUUAUCGGGUAAAAUCUAAACGUUCUAAUAUCUACAAAAAGAAAAAUUAACACUUAUUUAAUAUUGAAAAUACAUCUUACGUAUAAGUUUGUAAUCUCAUAUAUUAAAAGAAAACAAAAUAAUUUUUUUUUAUAUUUUUCAAAUAUUGACCUAGUUCUCAAGACUUUAAUAAACUGGUUAUUAAAACUCAAAAUGCAUGCUAAUAUAUAUUUUUUGAAUUUUUGAAAUUCUUAGUUUUCUCCAAAAUGUUGCAAAAAAAUAUAUAUGGAAAAACAACAAAAAAAAUCUUGUUUUCAUGCAUACGACUAAAAAAUAUAAGAAAUUUCAUAUCGUAUUUUCAUACCAAAACAAAUAUCUAAUUUGUAUUUUUACAAUAUAAAAAUACAAACUAAUAUUAAUCAAAAUUGAUAAAAAAAAAUAUACGAGAAAACCACAAAUUGUUUUAGAAAAGAUUUUGAAAUUUUUCAGAAUUUUGUCUCCUCUUUUUAAUAUAUAAUAUUAUAUUAUAUAUUAUUAUAAAUAUAUAAUAAAAAACAUUGGGAUGGGCUGGCCCAAAUAUAUGGGUUGAGCCCAUCCUUGUUAGGUUAAAAUUGGCCUAGGUUGGCCCAAAGGAGUUGGGCCAACAUCGGCCCAAGAAGUAGGCAGGAGAGCCGAAGAGUUGCACCUUUUUGAUGAAGUUUUGAUAGCUACGGUGUCCCAGAAUCCAAAUGUCACAGGCAUCCAGGAUCAAAUGGCAGAUAGUUUAGAUCUGAAAUUUGACAAGAAGAGUAAAGAAGGGAGAGCAAAUGAACUAUGGCAGAGACUGCAGGGAAAGAAGAUGCUUAUAGUCCUGGAUGAUGUUUGGAAAGAUAUUGACUUCCAAGAGAUAGGGAUCCCAUUUGGUGAUGAUCAC
Molecule: long non-coding RNA, 72946 nt
Filed under: Populus trichocarpa (black cottonwood)
Lineage: Eukaryota; Viridiplantae; Streptophyta; Magnoliopsida; Malpighiales; Salicaceae
Description: long non-coding RNA (PTRI_LNC000483)
Rfam family: MIR2912 microRNA precursor family (bases 43192-43347)
Source: RNAcentral